Molecule: long non-coding RNA, 77568 nt
Filed under: Fragaria vesca (wild strawberry)
Lineage: Eukaryota; Viridiplantae; Streptophyta; Magnoliopsida; Rosales; Rosaceae
Description: long non-coding RNA (FVES_LNC001231)
Rfam family: tRNA (bases 43530-43603)
Source: RNAcentral
CAUUCCUCUGUCAUAUAUAAUCAUAAUAUGAUCGUGUUCUAACCCGUGUAGUGGUCCAUCAUACAUAAACUGUCCAUCGGUCCAUCCUUUGAAAAACUCGUCAAAUCAGAGGGAAUAUUUAUGGGCUCAUUCUGUUAACAUUUGGAAUAAAUGGUUUGCUUUUGCCCGAAGGAAAUCAAUGUUAGGUUAUGCGGAAAAAUAAACUGUACAAUGGAAUCGGAAACUCACAACCACAAAUGUAAAAUGUAGCAUAAAUAAAAUGAUAAAAAACACCGGGAAUUGACGUGGUUCGGCAAAGUGCCUACGUCCACGGGGCAACAACAACAAAGAACCUCCACUAUACGAAUAAAGGUUACAUGGAGAGAAACACUACUUCCAGACUCACACUUGAAGGGAUACACUCUCACACAUACUUUAUUUUGCUACACAUGCACUCAAACUCUAUACUUAGGAGUUUUCUAUCUCACUCUUGAUAAUCACACAAGAUGAGCUCACCGGUUCUUCUAUAUUUUGCACCAUUGCAAAUGCCUCUAUAUAUAGGCAAAUAUAUGCAUGCAUUCUUCAGCACGUCCAUCACUUAGAAAAGAAUUCCACAAGUCUUCUUUGUUUCAUGCUCAAUGUUUCCAUGCCACAUUAAUGCAUGCUCUUCUAUUUCAAUCUUUGCAGCCACCCAUAACACCUAUAUACAUAGGUUGCUCUCUUGCAUUUCAACAAAUGCAUGCUGCACCAACUAUGUUAGCUAUAGAAUAGCAACUUGCCUCAUUGUAGAUUGAUGGGCAUAAGGAAAUUGAUUUAUAGAACAUUGAUAAAGGAGAAACAACGAGCAAAUUAUGGAAUUUAGGAACAGACAGUCAUAUUUUCUCUUAUAUAUACUGCAGUUAAAUACUUAAAUUACAUGAUGUCAUGAUUCUAAAGGACUUUUAGAUCAAAGAAAAUUAUAUUGAGGUGCUGAGAUCGUUAAUCGGUAACGUUCUCAACAACGCAGCUUGAAUACAUUAUCGUUAAUCGAGAAGAUGUGAAGCCUCUUGCUUGUUAAUUCAUAGAAUCUUCAAUCUUGUGCCUCUUGAAAAAAGAUUUAUGGUGCAACUAAACUAGCUGAGGAUUCUGUUAACCAUAUAAUGGUAUUUAGGUCUUUAGUUAUCAAUCUCUACCCUAUAAAUAACAAGAGAUGUACUGUUCACCAUUAUCAAUGCAAUACAAGAUGCAGACAUUCAACCCAUUUAUGUGUUUUCCUUUUCGCUUCUGCUCUUUCAAUUCCAAUAACUCAUGAAUCCUAUCAUGGAUUAUUCUUAUUUCUUAGUAGCAUGGAGCCAUGGAUCUUAUGAAACGAUCAGGAAAGACUAAAUUUUAUCUUCAGAAUCAGUUGAAAUUGUCAUUGCCUGAGCUUAUAAAGUACAACUCUAACACAAUAACAUGCAUGCGAUAAAAUCAUCUUCUUCUAUUUCUAGUUUUUUUUUUUUUCUUCUAUUUCUAGUUACAUGGUAGAAGUUGCAGUAAAAAAUCUUUGCUCGUUUUCUGGAAAUGAGCCAUAUUCUUGGCAUAAGCUAGUGCACCAGUGAUCGAUCCACACCAUAAAAGGUAUGAAGGAGCUUCGGCUAACCCACAUCAUCAAAUAUAGUAUAUAAACCUGCACACAACACUCGCGUAUAUAAAAUGAAAAUCCACACUUUCCACUUGGGAAAUCAUGACAUUUGAAAGUAGGUAAUUAAAACAUGCAUGCAUGCCUGGUUUUAGUUUCCGUAUGCUACUGCUCAACAUUAAUCAUUAAGAGAAGAAAACAAGUAAUAUUAGUUAUGAAUGAUCACGCAAGUAAGUACUGCUAACGAGUUUCGUUUGUUUCUGUUUAUGUUUUCAACAUGCUCAAAUUAGAAUUAAGAUCGCAAAUAAGGUAAUAGUUAGCACUAACCAUACUACCAGCAGUUAUUCAAGAACCGUGCGUGCAUGGACAAAAGAAUCAAAAGAAGCGAACGGGGUACAGAAGAAUUGCCGAGCAAAUCUCCUUUGGCAUUGAACACACUACAAGAAGAUAAUGCAAUGCUGUCAUGCAUGAUCAACAAGCAGAAGCAUUUCUAACUGUCAGUGGCUACAUGCCAGAGGAGAACUUGCCCUGUAAUCUUUGCAACUGCACCAAGCAAAUGUUCGAAGUUGCAGAACUGUAGACAGUGGAGGGUGCUAUUUAUCAAAGGCUAGAGGAAAGCAUAUGCUGUGGAUCCUAGGAACAAUGCUUUCGUUUGUGUGAUCGAAAAGCGUACGUACCAGGGACUUAUCCAUACGUACUAACCAAACUUCAUGCAUGGUGUAGAAUUUUUGCGCGCCUGAUCAUCUACAUGAAGGUGUUACUGUUCCUGGUAAGGUGAUGAAACUACGUGUCAGAACCUCCUGGAUGAAUGAGUAUAAUACAUUUAAUCAUCAAAUUCGUAUUAAUAGGGUUAUAUAUGCAAUUACAGCUUAUUCAUUAAGCCUUUAGCUCUGUAAAAACUAUCAGAAAAAAAUAUCAGCUCCAUUUUCGUUUUCCUUAGCUUUCUCUGUUCUUCAUUUUCGUUACCAUAAAAUUAACGCUUCGCAGAUUCUACUGAAUGAAUUGAUCUUCUUUUUUUUCUUCAUUUUUUUCGUUGGGAAUAGAUCGAUGUAUGGUUGAAGACUAGUGUCAAGUGUAACUUUUAAAGUUGUUUGUUCAAAGUACAGCAUAUAUGACUGGAAGUUGAUCUCUAUAAAUAUCUUCUCACAAGAUGCAGACGUUUGGCCUCAGUUAAUAUCCCCAAAUUAAACUGAGUUCUAAAGGAUAUCCUUUGGAACAAUACCCUGUACGAGCUCGAGGGGAUAAGCGCUUUCACAUUUUGUUCCUCCGAUAUCGAUCCCCUCCAGUGUGUCAUAUAUAAAUUAUACUGUAAAUCUGUAUUGUCAACUCAAAUCCAGUGUGUGUAUAUUGGUACGUAGCAUAAUUCUUCCUGCUGGGAACAAAUUCAGCCACAAAUUCGAUCAAAAGAUGCGCGCGGAAGCUCGAGGCUGCUGCCUCUUCAUAAUAUUUGUUCUUUCUCUUAUUGAUCUUUUGGCACGCAAUUAUUUCAACCACGUCCCUAUUCCAAAUCCAGAUUGUAUAUUGGUAUAUGCAUAAUUCUUUCCAGGGAACAAAUUCAGCCACAGAUUAUUCAUAAAGUGCAUAUAGGAGGAUAUGCGAGCUAGCUGCCUCUUCUUCAUCUUUUUGUUCCAUGAUCUUUUGAUCUUUGGGAACUAAAUAUUAUGCUACGAACCUUGAUAUUUGCAUGUGUGGUACACUUCUCUUGCUUAGAAUUUUCUUCGAAACUUGAUAAUGGCUAAUGAGACCACUUGUGUGGUACCUGAUUUGUAUGUCUUGAGUACGGUAAUUAGACCACACUAGAUUAAUAUACCAGAACAUAGUUUUGAGAAAUACCAUGAUACGUGAUCAUGGGAAUCGUGAUUCCAAGGACGAACAAGUAAAAAGCAAACUCUGGUUCACAAGCAUUAAUCUAGCUAGCUAGCAAAUGAGAGAGAGAUGUCAAGCACAAAUGGACAAGCAAAAUGGAUUGGAACCCGAGCUUAAAGGAUGGAAUAUACUAACUAAAACUAGCAGACAUGUAAAAAGGAGUGGUAACAGUAAUCAAUCUAUAUCUAACACGACAUAGCUAUACUAACUCGAUAGAACAAACAAAAAUAGCCAUUUAGGUAUGUAUAUAUUAUGAUUUAAUAGUGAUUAAUUUAAUUAACUGUGCUCAUGCUGAAAUCCAAAAUGGCUUUUUGCCUUUCGGUUUGUUCUUGCGUUGUCCAUGAAUGUUCGUACAUGGAGAAUGAAAGGUACAAUUAUUUAAGGAGAUGAAGUGUCUUAUCUCUCGGGUUAUAGGCAAGGAAUUAAGGAUAGUGCUACAUGUUUGGAAUUUACUAGCUAAUCACAUGCAAGAAGGAAUGAGCCAAGCAUGUCUACUGAGGUUAGACAAAGAUGAGGACCGCAUGAGAUAUUUUAUCAAACAUCUGGAGGUUCUUUAGCUAAUUCAGGUUAUAUCUUACAUUAUUUUUGUUAACUGCACGUGAGAUUCACACGCAACGUUAAAGUUCUGUUAGUCAAUCAAAUUCUUCGGAUUCAAACUUGUGACUGUAGUGAUGACAUGUCAAAACUCUAACCUGGUUUAACUGAAGAAUUUUUGAUCGACCAUUAUUUAUUAGAACUGUUAAACCAACACAUUUGAACCACUUCAUACAUAAUUUUUUAUUUUUUUGGAAGGCUUCAUACAUAAGUUUAUAUGUAUUAUUUUUUUGCCUUUUUUUUUUUUUCCUACAUUGAACUAUCAUUGUCAUGGCCGUGAGAUAUGUUGCAUUACAAAGGGGAAAGAACAAGAUAAAGAAUAAACUCAGAAAAAUUUUGUAGUGUCAGAGCAUGUGAACUCCUCCAUCCAGUGUUAAACAAUAUGCGUAGCCGGCCAGUGCUGCCUGCACCAAUUAUAUAAGCACAGAGUUUGCAGGGGGAGACAAACCGAAACCAGAGGAUAGACCCGUGAAUGAUCAAAGAAGACUCUAGCUGCUUGUAUAAACACAGCACUACGUACUCUAAUUGUUUGUCUCUGUUGAGAUAUAUAUCCCACGUUCGGAAUUGGGACAUUGUCUGUGGAUUUAUAAAGGUUUGGGCCACUCCACCUAUUGUUAAUUAGUCUUAAAUGUAAACCUUAGACUACUUUAUCAUGGUAUCAGAGCGGGUUACUCACGUCCACGUGUGAAGCCCAAUAACCACAUGCACUCCACGUCACCCAAAAGUUGUCCAUGUGUAUGACUUGAAAAUUCGCCACACGUGAUAUACUACUCUCUAUUGUCUCUACAGCUUCCUCCUCCUCCUCCUCUUGAUUAUUGACUGACUCAGUUUCUGACCCAUGUUUACAUAUGAACGACCUCUGCAUAUCUCUUUCCCACUUCGAUUACUCCCCAUGCAUAUUUGAACUGUAAAAGUGCAUGGGACAAGUAUGUAGCUGUUGUAGUCCAUUCCUUUCUGUAAGUUCCAGUUUGGCAUUAUUGCUUAUAUCUUAGUAUAGCACUGCGUAUCCAUUGGCUAGCUAGCCUCGACCUGCUUCCUGUGGGCUGUGGCACAGCUCGUAACUAUUUCAAUCCCAACAAUAAUGAACAUUUUGUCUUAACGUUGGUGUCUUGGGUAUUUCCGACUCUCCUCCCAAUUGAGGGAUGGGUUAGUUACUGGAUCCCUAUAUAUGCCUUACCUAUAGGUUCAUCUUUUCAUAAUUUAGCUCUGUAUAUAUUCUCGAUCAUAGCUAGGGCUCCUAUAUAUCAAAUGAUUGAGUUAACACAAGGAUACUGUACACCAAGAUAAUACCCACUAGCGGAGAGACGAGAAUUCUCCAUAGAGAUUGACAGAGCAUCAACAUUGUUUGGAUUUUGGACCCAAAUUAAUCAUACAUUAGUCGCAAAGAAAAAAAAAUUAAUCAUCCUAAAACCUAAGAAAGUAAGCUCGAAGGCGCCAAGAAAGAUUGUUACACCGAACAUCACCUAUUUACUCACCUUCCAGUGUAUUCUUGUCCUACAUCAUGUAUAUUUACCGAAGACAGAUAUAUCUGAAAAGGUUUGCAUGCAGGCAAAACCAUUUCCGUUGGCUUGUUGGGAAGAGUACAAAUAUAUAUGCACUAUAUGAUGAACUUUGGUUCGUCUCAGUUGUCGUGUACCAUCUGAAAAGACCGCUAUAUACGACUAGCUGAUACGGAAAAGGCUCGACAAUUAGCAACCUCACCAGGCCACUGUAUACUGGACAGUCGAGAAAUGGUUCUAUGUCGACUAAGGAUGAGAAAUGGUUUUGACAGCGUUAGAUGUAAUAAUGCACUCGAGCUCACUCUGUUUUGACAAUAUUCCGUUUCGGCCAUUUUUCAAACUCUUGAACCGUUAAUGAAAAUUCAUAGUCUGCACUAUUGCCAAUUCAUAUAGGACAUGAAGAUAAUAUCUUGGAAAUUUAAGAUUACGAGACAUAGCCCCUAAGCUCCUAUUCUCUCUCUCUNNNNNNNNNNNNNNNNNNNNUACUCUCUCUCUCUCUCUCUCUCUCUCUCUCUCUCUCUCUCUCUCUCUCUCUCGGCAAGCUAUAAAAGACGCCAGGCUUACUCACACAGUAUACUGUAUCUCACAAUACAUAAAUUUUCAAAGACGAAGCAUAAAAGUGAGAUAGAAACAGUGAGGAAGAAGAUGGGAUCUUGGGUGAGGAAGAGACUGCCAUUGCGCCGAAAGCUUCAAACUCAAAGGAGCUUCACAAGGAGGAAAUCCUUACGUACUGCAAAAGUAUAUCACUAGCCACCCUUGUUAACUAUAUGCUUAUUUUCUUCUCCGAUCUGCUGCUAAUAUAACUUUUUAAUGUUGUGUGUUUUAUAUAUGAAGGUCAGGAAGAGUUCCACUGUCAUCGAUGCUAUGCUCCACAUUUACCUACUGAAACGCAAGCUUGAAGCACUCCAUAAAGAGUGCUUAGAUCUCAUGGCCAUCAAAACAAAGUACUUAGACCUAAUCAAACAUAUUCAUAUGCCCAAGGUGAGAAGAAAUUUCCACCUUUAAACUUUGAUUUGUUCAUCUUAACUCUUAUCUCUUAUUAAUUUCCAGUAUAUCACAUUAGGAUGAUGUUGGACAGGAAGUGAAGGUGGAGAAGAUUGAGGAAGGAUUUCGUGUAAGAGUGACAUGCGAGAAAGCAGAUGACACUUUGGUUUCCAUCUUAGAAGCGUUUGAUGAAAUGGGUCUCAAUAUUCUGCAAGCUAAAGUUUCCUGCAAUAGCUACUUUGCCAUGGAAGCCAUUGCAGCUCAUGAAGCUCAAAAUCAAGAAUACAAGCUGGAUGUGACAGGUGUGACACAGGCAAUUAUUAAGGCCAUCAAGAAGCGAGAUUAAAGCUACAACUGAUCUUGAAGUUGAUCAAUAAUUAACUUUAGUUAGUGCUAAUCAUCAAUGUCAUGAAGACAUAAAUUGUUGUGUGCGUUUCUGAUUAAUUUUCAGUGUGUUGUGAUGUAAUAUAUGUAUUUGUUAAGUAAAAUUAUGGUACAUGCAUAAUGCAUGCUUCUCGUACACUAUAGUUUUUUACCUUAAUGACAACUCAUUCAUUGCCGAAGUAGUAAAACAAAAAUCUUCCUUAAGAUAAUUAAUUAAGGUUCCUAUUGAGUACAUUGUUCAAGUUUGAGUGAAGUGGUGAAAAGAUAUCAAAUAUUUCAGAUGCUCUCUUCAUUGUUUUGGUCUAAUUUGGAUUUUUCACUUGUUUUCAGAACAAUGGAAUAAAUAUGUUCAAGUUUGUGUGUGUUUUGUCACUUUUGUGUGAGGAGGAUGGGCUUGGAAACUCUAGGAGAAGCCUAUAAUCUGAGAAAAGCAUCUUACUAAAGAAAUGAAACUUGUUCUUGCUAAUAUAGCUGGAAAGAUAAUUUAUGUGAAGCCCAACAGCAAGGCGCAACACUAGAGAAAAACAAAAGAAAAGCCCAAAGAACCAAAUAACAAUGACAAACCCAUUUCCUGGCAAUCAAACUAUAGCUGGUGCAUUGCAGCUGCAUCCGUCUAAAUUUUCUUCUUUUUAUAGUUUCGGUUUAACAUUUCUUCCAUCUCACGACUCAUGACUCAUGCAUGGAAGAUCAGUGACCCCAAUUACGUACAUAGUUCCCAUAUUUCAAACCUUCCAAGUAUUAGAUGUAAGACAACGACUUAAACCUUCCAAGUAUUAGAUGCAAGACAAUGACUCCAAUCUAUAUAUGUGUACGUGAAUAGGUUAUAUACGAUCUUUUAUGAUACAUACAUGAAAUUCUCAAAAUAAGACAAAAGGAUAUAAACAAAUGUUCAUAGUAGCUAUAUAAAGAUACACAUAAAGAAUGUAUUACGAUCCUCAAAUUGAUUCUCAAAAUAUUAGAAACUAUCCGGAUCUCACUUCAGAGAUACUCAAUUGCCAGUCCGGACAAUAUAACAUGUGCAGGCAGAACUGCAGGCAAAGGGUUUCAUUGCCAUGUCCAUCAACAAGUAGGCAACUAUUGUAAAUGUCGAAAAUAUCUAGUUUAAUUCGCAACCCCAUUUGUAAGUACUAAGUACAAGGGGGCUGGCCUAGCCUGCAGCUUGACCCCCAAUUAUUAGUUUAAUCAUCCAAGUGAUGAUAGGGACUCACUCGAUGACGAAAUGCUGGAUAUUUCUCAGUUUUUCAUUCAGAAAAUUAGGCAGAUGCCUUUAGGGGUGCAAAUGGGGGCGCCUUCUUACUUCUUGGUUCCGUUCUAUAUAUGAAACCUCUCUCAGUCUCACCCAAAUCGAUUAGGGAGUACUAGAAUUAUAGGUUUUCAAGUCUAAGCCGUGGAAUAUGUAAAUAAUUGAUCCAAAGGGUUCAUAUUGCAGCUAAACUGCAUCCAGAAAAGAGCAAUCUAUAUUUCUCCCAAAACCCAACAACAAACCAACCAAAUGUUUGCUAAAGUCAAUCAAUUUGUGUCCCUUCUUUCAUGUAUAUGGAAGUACCUUCUUUUAUUCUUGUUACACAGAGUAUUCAUAAUGGUAGAGCACAAAUAUAAAUUGUUCUAGUUUUUUUAUUUGAAAAUUAAACUCCGUGCAACUUUAGGUCACAACUUAAAAUGACACAAGUCACAUGUUUCACAUCUUUUUCUGAUAGUAAGACCUAUGCCUGUAUCAUCUCACUAGGAGAUAUGCGAUCACCAGUACCGUUCUGAAGAUAAGUACAUGCAUUAACAUGUAGCUAAUUCUACUAGCCUUCAAACAUAAAUAGGUCGAUUACGGACAUAAAAGGUAAUUAAAACCGUAAUACUCUCAUCAAGGCUUCCCAUUUUCUAGAUCCCUCUUAAGUUGAGUCUUGAGAGUCAUUGAUGACAAUUACUCAUAUUAAUUAACAGUAACAUGAUGAUUGGAUUGUCAUUGCUAUCCAGGGGCGGAGCCUUGAUCAGGCCUGAAGGGGUCUAAACCCCCCUUGGUUUUGAAAAGUUUGAAGGUAAGGUGCUUAAUUAGCUAAUUAUCAUUCAAAUCCAUUUAAUCAUAUCAUUAAACCCCCCUUAAAUUUUUACCUAUCAAUUAAUCUUGAAUGACAAAUCAAUUAUAUUAAGAAAUGUAUCUAUAGAAUUGAUUGGUAUUUAUGUCUUACCAAUCGAAAUUGUUAAGAUAAUUGAUUUUUUUUAGGACUAAUUUCAGUUUACCCCCAUCAAUUUUAUGUCGAUCAUCAUGUUAGUCAUUCUUCUUUUAAUUUCAUCAAAAACACCCCUCAACUUCCAAUUUUCAUCAGCCACACAUGUCUGAACCUCCAAUCUCCAUCCAAUUCUUUUGUCAAGUGAUGACUUGAUAUCAAGAAGAAAGAAAAAUAGACAAAUUGCAUUCAAUCUCACCAAAAUCACUAAGGUUAGGGCGUUAUGAUGGGAACGAAUAUGUGUAUCGAUUUGGGGGAAAAAUGGUCCAAAAAGUAACUUUCAGAAUUUGACUUUCUUCUUGAUAUCAAGUCAUCACUUGACAGAGGAAUUGGAUGGAGAUUAGAGGUUUGGACAUGCGCGGCUGAUGAAAAUUGGAAAUUGAGGGGUGUUUUUGAUGAAAUUGAAAGAAGAAGGACUAACAUGAUGAUCGACCUACAAUUGAUGGGGGUAAACUGAAAUUAGUCUUUUUUUUUAAUUAGUAAACAUGAAAAUUAAUGAAUUUACCAAAACAAAAAAUGUGAAGUAUUAAGUGAUGCGUAAAUUACUACUUUCUUCAUUCGUACAUUUUUAAUGUUGCACGAGUUUAUGAGAUGUAUACAAUAAAAUUUUACUUCAUUUAAAAAUGAUCAAAUUAAACAUCGAGUCAGAUAGUUUUUUUACAAAAUUUUAAUAUACACUUAUGCUAUAAUGUUUAGACGUCUCCAUGGUUAAAUCCUGGUUCCGUCACUGUUGCUAUCUAGUUUAGUUUUAUUCAACAAAUUGUAUUUGUCAUCACUAAACCAUUUGGAACUCCAAGAUCGGAGGUUUUAGUAUGAAAGAUGCUAUAUAAUUCUCCUCGGACAAAUAAUGAAGAAGGUGAUCGAUCGCAUCCCCGGCCACCUCGUAGCCACCCUCAAAUGGCAUGGACAUAUAUAGUUGUUCUGAGCGAGCAUUACACGGAUCGGGACAGCGCGCAUGCUAGAGAUUUGGUAUCAGAUGAAGCUUUAAUGGCGACAUAUGCCUCACCCAGAUUUGGCUCCUUCCCACCACAUCGUAGUCAUCAACUCCAACAUAAACUAUUCCUUUUCAUAUUUGAUAUCCUGUCGUGCUUCAAAAGUCUGUGUUUGGCUCUCAGCCGGGAAUUAAGAAGCUCAAACCAGAUGUGAAUGAGGAAACCCUCGAGGAACUUUCCGUUCCUUGAAAAUAUACGGGCAUGGUGGACGCAGUGGGUGAUAUAAGAUAUACUAAACAAGAGGAUUAGGGCUAGGGUUAAUUUUGUGGAAUAAUACACCUUAAAGAACUAUUAAAAGUGACAUACAUGUCCAUUGCUUCACGGCAUCCAUUAGGUCUAGAAGGCUUAGAUUAAUACUUCUUUUGUUUUUUUGAUAUUUUUGUAACAAAUUAGCCAAUUGGCAUUUUGCAUUCCUUUUGAGCUAGACUGGGUCAAAUUCUGAGGCUUGAUAUAAUGCAUCUGUCAAAUUCUAAUGUUUGGAGCUAUGCCAGAUACCACUUUCUAUAAGCUAGGGGGAUCGAAUCCAUUUAUAUCCAAAUGUUGGUGGUUUUUUAAAUUUUGGCUUUGUCUUUGAGCCAUGAGACAUGACCCUCAAAUUAAAAUGUACCAAUUAUGUAUGCUAAAGAUAAUUAUGCUAGUUAAUUAAAAGGAAACAUGAUUGUUAUGUAUCCACCUUUUCUAUAAUUCUCUUUGAUCAUAUAGUAUGAAAAUUAUGAACAUGUUUCGAUCUGGCUUUAAUUAAACAAAUUGGCAUAUAUAAGUGUAUGUCAUUAGGGGAUUGGUUAACCCAGCUAAUAAUCAAGAGCUCCAUAAAUAUAUAUAUAUAGCUGUAUUUGACUUUUCUUAUUAAACAAUUAAGGGGAACUUGAUCUGAAUUAUUAGAUAGGGGUUAGAGCUAAGUAGCCCUUUAAACAAAGGAAUACAAAAACAAAAUUGAUGAGAUCAUUAUAAUAUAUAUGUCAUACAGACAUUAAUAUAACUAGGUCUUUAAAAUACAACAUUAUCAUGUCAUUUCAAUAAUCAUAAGCAUAAUUAGUCAUUUUCCUUGGUCAGGGUGAAAAGUCCAUUUGAACUAAAUCAAUAACUUGGUCUAGAUUGAAUUGGUAUAUAGUUAUUCAUCAUUAACUUAGAAAUGAAGGUGGAGGCUUUGGCAUACACUAGCAUAUAGUACACAUGCAUGUGUGUAAUGGUGUAACUAAAAUCAAGCAUUAAUACUCCAAAAUGUAUAAUAUCAAGUAUAUUAAGAGAGGUUUCAAGUGAGCCAAGUGUUUUCUCUCUCUAUUUGUCUUAACAAGAACAAAGCAUUUGUCAUUCUUAAAAGAAAAUAAUCACUCAUGACCAAACUUUAAUUGAUUCGGAUCGAACCAUCUCUGUUUUAGACAUAUCAGAAAUACAUUGAACUUCUAACUUACCUUAAUCAAAAAAUAUGUUGCUAAUUAUGAAAUAAAAUCACAAGACGCUUGAUUGCUUUUAGAAACAAUACUGAAUCAUUUAUAAAUUACAUUUACGGUUACAUAUCUUUAUUAUAAGCUAAACAAAUUUCGUUGUUUUGUUUGGAAACUAGAAAAAGGAAAACCGUUCAUUCCUUAAAAAACAACAACGAUGGAGUAAUUUCUUGAUGAGUGGAGCUAUGGACAUGGAGAUCAAAAGAUUGAGAAGUGUCUCUUUCAAAAUUGCAAUGUGACAUUUUUGAGUAGCUAGCUUGGGCAAAAGAAGUAGUGAAAUGGGUCAUCAAAAAACUCCAUAAAAAAAAUCCCAUUAUUGGGGCUUAAAUAAAGAAAACACAUUUGGGUUGCACGUCCUUUAUUAAAACAAAUCCACACAACCCGUUUGUCAAUGUGGCGGCCAAUUUUUUAAGGACCCACCUCCCCCCUCUCCCUCCCUCCAUUUGUUUCUUCCUCCCAUCAAAAACCUCCCCAACCCUUCUCUCCUUCUCUCUCCCUCUCUCUGUGUUCUCAGCAGCCACUUUGUGUUUUCCACAAGCAUCAUCAUCAUCAUCAUCAUCAAAAGCAUCAACCACCCACUUCUAUUCUAGCUUUCAGAAAUGGGCUCCCCCACAUUCUUCAAUAAACACUUCAUGAGUGAUAUUGAUCACGACGACUACAACACCGCCACCACCUCCACCCCCGAAAACAGCUCCGGCUCCCCUCCUCCUCCUCCCGCCUUCAACGACGUCGUCUACUCCAAGAUCGCUUCCUCCCCCAAGAAAAGGUACUUGUUCACUCAAUUCGAAAAUUAGCUCAUGUAAUUUAAUUCCACCACCAAUUAAUAUGAAAUGAACGUUUGAAUUUGCUGUUUAAUUACAGCAGCCGGCGAGCCAUACAGAAGAGAGUCGUGUCCAUCCCCAUCAAGGAAAACAGUAACACGAACACUCCGCCGUCUGAUUCCUGGGCCUGGCGGAAGUACGGCCAGAAACCCAUCAAGGGCUCACCUUACCCUAGGUAAAAUCAUUCAAUCAACCAACCCAAAUACUAUGGGCACUUAAUUUUGAUCUCUAUAUUCUUCUAUAAUGUUUCGAAGUUAAAAGUUUCAAUGAACAUUACGUGACGCUGUAAUUUACGGCUGCUGAUUUUAGUUUCGGUUUUUUCUUUUUGGAUUGAGCAGGGGAUAUUACAGGUGCAGUAGCUCAAAAGGGUGCCCAGCGAGGAAGCAGGUGGAGAGAAGCCGAGCGGACCCCACUAUGCUGAUGGUCACCUACUCUUCGGAACACAACCACCCCUGGCCGGCUUCUAGAAGCCACCACGGCGCAAAACCCCAGACCAAAACCGAGGUCCGGGAGGAGGAGGAGGAGGAGACAGCGGCGGCCCAGCCGGAGCCCGACCCGGAGGAGAGGCGGUUCGCUGAUCUGGGCGGCGACGAGGAGCCGGCCCUGGUGAUCAUCCCGAGCGCCGCCGACGAGUUCGGGUGGUUCGCCGCCGACAUGGAAACGACGUCGUCGCGGGUGCUGGAGAGCCCGAUUUUCACGGAGAGCGGUGGGCCCGACUUUGGUGACGUGGCGGGGAUGGUGUUCCCGAUGGGCGAGGAGGACGAGUCGUUAUUCGCCGAUCUCGGGGAGCUGCCCGAGUGCUCGUUUGUGUUCCGGCACCGCCGUGUCGGAGGCGGAGGAGGUGUGGGACCACAAGUUCAGAUCUGUUGACACGUGGCCUGCCUUCCUCAUUUUUUUUUACUUUUUUAUUUCUUACACACUUCUCUCUGUCUCUCUCCGUAUAUACAAAAAGAGUUUUGUGUCAUUCAACCAAUAGAAGCCGGGUUGCAAAAGAGUAUCGUGCGCCAUAAGAUACCGGAACUUUUUCUCUUUUCAACAAUUUUUUCCUUUUUUCCCUUAAUUUUCUAUUUUUAGUAAUAAAAUAUUUUCAUUUCUAUUUUUCUUCUUCCCUUUUGUCUUAAUCUUUUUAGCUUAGUGAAUGAAUAAACAAAACUCUUAAUCUGGAUCUGUCCUUAUCUUGGUGUAAUCAGCAUCAUCUGCCGUCCGUUUCCAAUUUGUGCAUACAAUAACCUUCGAGUUUGGGGCCAUCAAUCUAUUAUUGGUUUUGUCACGGAUUUAUAGCAUAUGUGCCACCAUACCAAUUCAUUUUGUUCUCUUUUGUCUGUUUGAGGUUUUGUCUUCCUCUAACGUACUUAUCUCAUACUUGAUUGAUCGAACUUGGUAUUAAAUUUUAGAAAAUUCUAAUAUAUCAUAUAGUAUAACAUGUCUCAUAAAAUAUGUGAAUUUUGAGUCUUAUAUAAAUUAGGAGAUCAAAAUUUCGACCCAUUUCCUUACUUGGACUGUUAGUUAGGUUAUAGUAUUAGAUAAAAUACUAGCAUAGUUGGCAUGUGUAUUCUUUGUUUAUCUAGGAAAGAUAUAAUAUUUCAAAAACCUUCAAGAUUCACAUGGCCAUUUGCUUCCUCGUUAUGGUCCCUUCCAUUCAAUCAAUCUUAUCCUCCAUGAUAAUAUAUCUCAAGAAGCAAUCCCAAAUGCACCAAAUUCUUAUUAGUGUGUUGAAUAAAACUACAUGAAUUGACAGCUCAAUUACAAAGUGUCGUUUAUUCCUAUUCUAUAACUGCAUAAAAUUAACGAUAAUUUAUGAUAUGACAUGAUAAUAUACAUGAACAACGAAAUUACACACCGACUUUCAUAUAUCCAUAACAACAAAACUUAAAUCUCUCUCAACUAUUUGAAGAUAUUUCUAUCCUCAUUUCUCCCAUCCCAUGUUUUAUGACUUUUAGACCAAAGCUUUUAAAAACCAGAUCCAUUAUUAGGUUCUUGAUUCUUUGAUUGGCAGUUUGACUGAAACUCAAAAAUUGAGGAAGAUUCUUAUUGUUUGAAUAGACAUCCCAUUCUAAAAGUCAGAAUAACCGAAAAGAUGUUUGACUUUUAGGUAAAUGGUAGCUGGAUUAGGCUCCUUCAAGCUUCAGCUGCCACUAUUAUUAGUCUUUUAUUUGGACAUGGAGAAAGAAAAAAAAUUAGAACAGCUAAUAUUGGCACUCGAUUCUGGAUACACCCCAACAUUGCUCAAGGGAAGAGUUACGUAAAUACAUGGGGAGUGGUUGAAGAAGAGAAAAGGACCCAAGUGGAUACAUCUCACAUUAUCAACAAUUUUAAAGAAUCGACGAUUAAUAAAUAAAUAACCGAGAUAUAAUACGGAUAUAUGAAAUGAAAAACUCAUUCUAAUGUCACGCUAAACAUCGAACAGAUGUUGUCGAUGACUGAUCAGCAUAGCAUGAUUUUUCCACAAAGUAACGGCACUUACAUAAUGGGAUUUUAUUCACAAAUGUUUAUAUCAAUUUUUCUGAUAUGGGGUUUCAUUGUUGGAGACAAAACUCAUACUUCUCUUAUUUCUUUAUAAUCACAUUAACAAUAAUAUGAGAGACACAGCCAAAACAAGGUGUAAUAUAGAAUAAAGACCCUAGAGACCCGUCUUUGUUUUUGGAUUUUCUUUGGGUUUUGUUUUUACUUGAAUUUGCAACGCCUGCAUAGCAAAGUAGCAAAGCAUUGCGUCACAAUGUAAUGCAUAGUCAAUUAGUCAUCGUUUACAUCAUCAAAUACCUUGGAUCAUAGGUAAUUAGAUUAAUAAUCUUUUGGAUUAUAGUCAGAGUAGAUUGGAUCCACUUCUUCCUUAUCCAUUCUGCCAUACAAAGAUGCAUAGAUUAAGACAAAAUGACAGCUUAUCUAUAAGGAAUCCCCAAUUUUAUAAAGCCUAAACCUGCAAGAUUUCAUCUACAUGUAACAUGCUUAACAUCAAACACCUUCCCCCAAUAAUGGAAAAUUCUAAUUGUUUCAGAAUUAUAAUGUUUUCUGUGCUGAUAUUAUGCUUGGAUCAGUAUUUAUAAUAGACUAAUUUUCAAAAUAACAUGCCUUAUUUCACAAGGCACCACCAACUAGUUUGUUUUCUAGGAAAUUUUCGAACAGCCUGUCUAGGACAGAUAGGUUGAGUUGAAUAAAAGAUUUAAAUUAAUGGGACUGAUAAACAAUUUCAAAAUACAGAAUUUUGGUGCAAAUUGCCCCAUUCAACAUCUAUGUAGAGACUAGAGAGUAAAAUCAUGUAAAAGUUCCUACAGAAGCUCUUCUUCCAACAGCUAAACAUAAUCUGUCUCGAGUAAUGAAUGAUAACGACACUGGAAGAAAGAAACGGAACCCCGCUCAGCACCUAAUGUCUUUGGAUGAAAAAUUUUACACAACACCCUGGUAUACAAAGAAACAGAUGUAGCAACACAAACCAGACAUAUCUGAUACAGAUUCAAUAUCUAGCUCGAACAACACCCACCUUUCUUUACGGCUGAAACAUCACUGACAUCGAUUUUUUCUCCUUGGGAUGGAACAGCAGCUGCAUCAUUGUUAGCCUCCAUGGACUUCUUGCUCACUAUGUGAAAGAUCUGGGUAAGGACUUCAGCAAAUGCAUUGUCCACAUUAGUUGCUUCGAGUGCAGAAGUUUCCAUGAAGUAGAGGGACUCUCUUUCGGCAAAGGAUUUUCCAUCCUCAGUUGAGACUGCCACAAGGUGACGUAAGUCUGAUUUGUUACCAACCAGCAUGACAACAAUGUUGGGAUCAGUAUGAUCUCUUAAUUCCUUUAACCAUCUUUCCACACUUUGAAAUGUUGAAUUCCGAGUAACAUCAUAUACAAGCAGUGCGCCUACAGCCCCUCGAUAAUAGGCACUAGUUAUUGCUCUAUACCUACAAAUAGAAAAGGGUUAAUAUGAUGAUUGUCAAAUGAACCUCCAAAGUAGAAUUCUUCUGUUUUAUAUCAAUUUAGAAAUAACAAAACUAUAAAUCAAAUUAGGAGUUAAAAAACAAUGAUAUCAGACACCAAACUGUUUGUAAGCAUUACCAUCAGCAAUAACUACUUCAUAUUUUCAAUCAAAAAUGGCCGGUAGCUGUGGAAGUGUGGAAUCUAUUACAGUUGCCAAUACACUACAAAUAUAUACUUCUGUUUGUCCACAAUUGUGACAUAAGGUAUACUGAAGCUUUCACUUUUUCUCUGCCUAAUUGAACUAAUUUUAACACUCUUUAACUGUCUAACAUGCAAUCAUUGUAGCCAGCUACCAGCACCAGACAGCCAUUCCACCACAAUCUCAAUAACCAGACGCAUUACCAUUAGCGCCAGGAAAAACAUCAUCAGUAGCAAUAUGGUUAUGGAGACCACAGAUGGAAAGCACUAGAAAAUGGAUAGUGAUGAUGGGCUGGGUUGAGUUGGGUUGCUUCAGUCAUUUCAGUUUCAGAAGCAAGAUAGUGGCUUUAUUAGAGAAAGAAGAAAAAAAAACGCCUUUUGGGUUGCAUAUACGUUGGAGAGGAUUGAAAAUCAUCUCUCAAGUACAUAAAUGGUUCUACUGUAGUGGGAUAAGGAGGGUAGGAUGGAUGCUGUACAAAGCUGGCAUUACAAUCCUGUUCAGACAUCUUAACACAGGACUCAAACAUGUCGUGUUUUGGUGUUUCAAGCAACACCUUAUGGAAGAGGAGUUAUUUGAUUUAGGGUAUUAACUAACAAAGAUGUUUCCAACACCUGAAAAUUAUGUUUUCUUUCAUAUAGGACCAUUGUAAGGACUAACGACUAACUUACCACAACUUCCAUAGUCAUACAUGGACAUAUUUGUUAGAAUAGAGCUUAUUCUUCAGAAAACUAGUCCGCGGACUACCCUCUAGUACAUGAAGCUCAAACACUUGAGACUCGAUAAUAAAGGUUCUGGAAUUGCCUAAUGUUGAGCUAAAAAUUGCAGUAGUCAUUGAAAUACAAACUCAACUAUAUGCUCCCUUUCACUAAUACAAAACAAAGUAAGCUACCUAGAUUUGAUCAACCUUUAAGGACAAAAAUUUAUCAAGAAGACGGGGGAUGAAAAAUGGAUAAGAAGCCCAGUAAACCAAAUAAGAACAAUUGAAAAAGCAUUACUUCAGAUAUAAAUAUAAGAAGCGCUCCUUGAAGCUCAAGUUCUCAGGGGUCAGUGAAUUAUCAUUCAGCUCAUACAACUUUUCCAUCACAGUAAAGUAAACUACAUAGACCUUAGCAUCUGGUUUCCUGGGUACCCAACUUCGUAUCCACUGUUCAACAAGUAUAAAUUUGAAUAAAUGCUACUGUAGUUGCUAAACUUGCGAUUUUGGUAUGAAACAGUCACAAAUUCCACAAAACCAACAAAAAAGUACAGUAAGUUCCACACUAAGAAGUGGAAAAGUUAACCAUUCACUUUGAGCCCCCACUCAAACCUACAUCUGACAUAGCAUUUUUAAUGUAAAAGGAACAUAGUCCAUAUGGCUUUUUGUACUGAUGACGUUUCUGAUCAUCGUAAAAUGCCUGCCUGUGUACUCUUAUUAGAAGAAACGCUUGAUGGAGGCUCAAACUUUCUUUCAAUAAUGUCCAUAUCCAAACCUAAGCCUUCUAUGUCUACACACAGUUGAUUGCCAAAUAGGUUACAUAACACCAAAUCAAACUCAAUUUAACAUAUUAACCUCCUACAUGUGAAACAUCCAUUUCCAUUACAGCAUCGGCACUACCUCAAUACCAGCCCCAUGUCACCCCACUGCCAACAUGAAGAAUCAAUGGAACAUACUCAUCUCCAUAAAUAAAAGAAAACAUGUUUAAAUUUCAUCACUAACAGAUUGCAAGUUCACCCUACAUGUAGCACACUUGUGUUGCCUGCUCACUUCCCAGUUCCCACUAGUAAUUCAUUCACAAAAGCUAUAUAUGAAACUUAAUUGGGAAUUGCUGAAUAUAUGUCACAUGCAGAUACCAAAGCACAAUAAUAAUAUAAAUUACACAUACAUAUUUCGAACAGAACUAAAUAAUAUUACUUUUCUGUAAACAUAUCAUAUAGAUUAUAGUUCAAACUUCAAAGUCAGAAAUUUGAGCAAAGUACCAGUUACAUCUACAAUUUCCAUAAAAGACAAGGUAGCUCCAAUGAGAUUGUCAUGUUGUAUAAAGAUUUUGUGUAAACCCAAACCUAAAAUUCCUUUCAUCUUUUUCUAACAACACAAUACUUGUAUAGUUGUAAGAUUAUUCGAGUGACAAGUAUACUGAAGCAUCAUACUUAAUAACCCAAACAGCCUGUAAACCAAGUUUCACAAGUAAUUGUAUCUAAAACACAGCCUAUAAAACACAGUUAUUUUUUUCUUCUGUUGGCCAGUAAAACGGUCGACAAGUAGUCAACCGAUUUCCAUACACACAGCAGUAAGGACAAUAAACUCAAUUCCAUAUAUAAUCCACAAAAGCUUCUAUCUUUACAGCAAUUCCUCAAUGCGCUGUAUGAUCAUACACACUCGUAUGGAAGCCGAAAUUAAUUCACCUAAAGACACAGCUCUAAAGCAAAUGCGGUUUUGAUGUCAAGCUCAAAACAACAAAAGGACACAUAACAAGCAUAUACUAAGCAAAGAUUCUCUCCGCACAAGAAUCUAAAUUUUGCCCGAGAAUCUUAACAUUCUUGAGUCAACAGUUUCUCACAUUAAAUCCAACCUACCAGAUCUACCGUGAUCGAACCAAACACAAUGCUAAACCAACAAAACUCGAGAGCUGAACUGAAACUGAAGAAAACGAGAAAGACACGGAUCAUAAAGAAAGACAAACCUUUCUUGGCCGGCAGUGUCCCAAAUCUGGGCCUUGAUGACUUUGGAGUCGACGUUCAAGCUGCGAGUGGCGAACUCGACGCCAAUGGUGGACUUGGACUCGAGGCUGAACUCGUUGCGGGUGAAUCGGGAGAGCAAGUUGGACUUGCCGACGCCGGAGUCGCCGAUCAGGACCACUUUGAACAGGUAGUCGUAGUCGUCCUCAGCUCUGUACCCUGCCAUUGUUAUGUUCUUUUUGUUUCUUCGAAGAAACUGGUGGUGGUGAUCUUAGAUCUCUCACUUCUCUAUGUUUGUGUUUUUCUUUUUCACUCUUUAAGGAAAAUGAAAAGAGGUUUGCUUUCGGUGUGUUUGGACCUUUCGGCCUUUCGGAAGCGUGUCUGAACAGUGUGGACUGAGAAAGACUGGGGGCCGAGUGGGCUGGACUCCACUACAGAAAGAGGAGGGACUCUCUCUGCCUAUUGAGGAGAUGAAUGACGGUUAUGUCCUUGCUCGAGGGGUGUUUGUGGGAUUUUAUUUAUUUUUUAUUUUUAAUACACGUUAUGUACCGAAGACUCUUAGUUAUAAGAAACAAAGGAUGUCUAGAACUAGGAAGCACGGAAGCGCUGAGAUGGUCACGCUUCACGCUUCUGAAGCGGAAGCGCCGUGGAAGCGCUAGGAAGCUUUCGGAAGUGCGAUUCUGGGAAAAUGAGGUUUGUGAAGCGCGGCGGAAGCGUCCGAUUCCGAUAUGGAAGCGCACGACUUCGAUUCGGAAGCGCGGACGGGCACUGUGGGUCAGCGACGCGUUGAUCUUCUUUCAAUCUCUUAUGCAAUCAAUGAUCAAUCCCGUCCUCUCCUUGACGACCCCUUGAUUGAGAAAGGAGAGACAAAACAAAUAUGAAUCUGGAAGGAGAUAGAGAGAGACGUAGAAGGUGAGGGAGAACUGGAGAAAAGAGAUGCUGAAGAGAGAAGCAGCCAGAAUGACAAAGAUGGAUGGCUUCCACUCUCUUGAUUUGCACACCCACGUGCUAUAGUUGCGUUUUAAUUUUUUUCAAAAAGAAUGGUGUUUGGACCUUUUGGAUGGAAAAAACAUAGUUAUUAUGGGAUUAAUAGUUAUAUUAGUAGUAGAUAAAGAGGCUAAACAAUUAAAUAAUUAGGAGGUUGCAAAUUGUUUCAUUAAUUUGUAUUUAUUAUUAACAAUAAAUAAGAAGAUUUGGAAAGCUAGUAAUAUUAUUAUUUUUUAUAUUAUUUUAUUCUACGUCUCUAAACGCUUCACUUCCACGCUUCCGCUUCCGAUUCCAUGCAAUGUAGGUCUAGAAGACUAUAAUUGACAUUAAAGACGAGAGAACGAACACCAAAUCCGGUUAUGAGAGUAAGCACAUGGUCGAGACCGCGUGUAUUACCCUUCAAGAACGGUUAUGAAAGUUAAUGUGUAAAUUGUUUAAAGAAUCAAUUUUACGAAACAUACGUGUUAUAGAGCAAAUAAGUUACAACUUUUACGCGUUCUUUUAAAAAAUUUUAGUUGCUCCAUAAAAUUAAAAGCUAAUAAUUUUGCAAUUGCAAAGCUUGUUGUUGUUGGUCUGAUUAUUUAGUACGUAAAAGCUUUGGAAGAGUCUUCAUGAACAUUGGAUGUGGAUCGAUCAGUCGAUCACUGCAAUUAGGGACGGCGGCACUUGCUGGUAACCAAGACAGCCACAAUCCCACAUGCUGCUAUAACAGCACCAGCAGUAAUACCUAUUCCAAUGAAUCCAUCUUUCACAAUUCGAUCCUCUACUGUCUUCUUAAGACGAAGAGCCUGUUUCCAUUCUGGUUCAAUCUCUAAGCACCGGUCCAGAAGACGCCGGCUAGUUGAAUAUGCACCACUUCUGUAGUAUCCGACCGCCCGAAGAUAACGCAUCUCUUGUUGAUCCAAAAGGGAAUUGGUAUUUUUGGCCAUUGAAGUUUCAGCUGCUUGCAGCAGCAUGUCUAUUCCACGUUGCACAUCUUGAUGUUGCCUUGAGUGAACAAGUGCCCAUGAUAACCUAAUUAUUCUUUCUCUCUUGUCCUUCUCUGUCGUCUCACCUUUGCUCAUCGCCUCUGCAACUUCUAUCUCACACCCAUGGAUGAUGUUUCCAUCGCUCCAUGGGAUGUGAUCUUCUCCGGAGCCGAACAAGGAACCGACGGAGUGGAAAAUGUUGUUCAUCAGUUUCCCCACUUUUCGAUUCUCAAAGGGACGAAUGACUUUUGUGGGACAACGAUUUUCAAUUGCUAAUUAGAAACUGUAGUAAAUUUGUGAUGGCCUAUAUUAGAAGGAUGCAGGAGAGGAGAUAAUGCUUCUCCCAUUCGGUUUUGGUCUAGCCCUAUAGUCUAUAUAAACACAUCCUAAUUUUUUUGCCUAAGUUUCAAAUCCUUGAGGGAGAAGGUUUUCUUCUCCUACUCGGUUUAGGUCUAGCUAAAGCUUACAUAUAUAAACAUUGCACUCCCCUCAUUUACUACCAAUUAUCUCAUUCUCUUCAUUGAACAAUUUGUUGAGGCUAGCUACCAUGUCAACCAUCAGAGAAAUAUUCUUUACUUAUUCCGACGCACGACAAACCAACGAAAAAACUGAAUCCGACCUCUCCCACUUAAUCUUCUUCAAUCCACAGGACAUAGUUCCCAUCAGAUUCAAGCUCGUAGAGAAAUUCAAAAGCGGCUGUGUUUCUGAUUCUGAAGAUGUCGACGAUCCUCUUUCUUACCCAACACACAUUUUCUUCGAAGAGAUAGGAUCCAUCGUCGCAAGAGAAGAAGUCAGUAUAGAUUCUCUCUCGAGUCUCAAGCAAAAAUCUGAGAGGAAUUUGCAUAAGGAACAUUUCGGUUCUAUUCUUUCCAAAUCUUUGGGUGUCCCUGAAGACUUGCAUCCACCUAUCUUUGAGAAACUCUUUGAGGUGGUUGAUGAUGAAGACGCCGUACCCUUGCUCCCUAUUGAAGUGGUUAUCACUAACGUGAACUUGGCUCUGACUUCAAGGUGGUUAGAGAAUUUAGCACAAUCUUCCAAUUAAAAAGUUAAUUACAUUCCUUAAUUUUCAUUUUCAUGGACACUUGUACAGUGGCACUACAGAAAGGAAAGAGUGCAGAAAACUGUAAUGGAGUUCUAGUUUUGUUCUAUUCUUCAAAGAUCCAAAACGCUUGUAGAUUAUUUGAGUAUGAUCGAAGACUGCACGUACUUUUUAUUAUUGUCAUGUAAUUCUUAAGAAUAGAUGUCAUUAGUCGUUAGUCGUUACUACUAGUAUAGGUGCUUCACAUUUUUUCUCGGAUCGAUCUUUCUUACCAAAUCAUAAGUAUGAAAAGUUGAGGAAUGAGUCGUGUUAAGAAUAUAUGCGUCUCACAUUGAGAAAUUGAGACAUUGUUUAUAAGUUCAUAAUGGGUUGGGCCACUUCAUCUAUUACCGAUUGGUUUUGGAUGUGAACUCUAAACUACUUAAAUGAUAUAUAGUUAAUGUGCCGCAAAACACAUCUCAUCCAAAAAACACUAGAACAACGAAAGAUACGAGUGCUUUGUGGAUUUUAGAAGAUGAAGCACUCUAGAGAUCUCCUAACAUGAAAAAAACACUUCCAACAAUAACAAACCCAAACAGCUCAUCAUGUCAGCUGAUUAGAUUUUUCAUAUUUAAUUGCAGGUGUGAUGUCAAACUCAUGAAUCAGUUUUGAACUUUUUAUAGAUCAUCGAUCGCCUGUAAUUAUUUAAAGUAAAGCUUUCCAAAGUUUCAACAGCUAAGCUAGCUAACUACUGAAGUAAGAUUUUGAUAUUAUUGUUGUCUUCAUCUAAAAUAUGUUCCAAGUUGUUGAGAUGUUGUUCUCUAGCUAUUAAAUUUUUUGAUCAAUUAUUUAUCUCUUUGUUAGAACCAUUGAGAGGUCGAUCUAGCUAGAACCAUUUAGAGGUCGAUCCAUAAGGAAAGUAGGAAACAGGUAACUUCCUUCUGUAGGAAAAGUUAAGGGUGUUAUCCUUCUGUAGGGCAUUCUCUGUAUUUGUAAUUAAAGUUCAUACUUAUAGAAUUUCUGUGAUUAGCGCUACUUGUGCUUCUUUUGCCUUAAUAGUUAAUAUGAUUGACCUCGCAUUUUACUAAUUGAUGCAGAUCUUCCUCACCAAACAAAUCGAUGAUCUUUCUCACCAACAUUGAAUUUUAAAGGCGCGGAUGUAUGAAUUGAAUUCUACUUGCUAGCUAGACCCACAAUUGAUUCAUGUAGCACCGUUAUAUCCCAUAUAUCAGACACUAAUAUGAAGAAAAAACGUUUAACAUGGAAGUUGAAGAUAAAAACUGGUAAUUAUUAGCAGCAGUGAAGCACUUUGAACAAAAGAGAAAGUCUUCCGUGCGACGGUUGUGCCACCUGGUUCAUGCGACCAGCCAUUUGAAAUCCGACACGUUUUUUUUUUUCACACAUGCAUUCUUCUUCUUCCCGAAGGUCCCUACGACUUCUCCGGCGAAGCUUUUUCUUCCUUUCUCCAGCGAAGCUUCUUCUUCCUUCCUUUUCGAGCCGCCGAAGGUCCCUGCGGCUUCUCUGUCGAAGGGUCGUAUAGCCUUUGCAGCUUUUCCGGCCGAAGAAGAACGCAGGCGUGAAAAAAAAAAACACGUGUCAGAUUUCGAAUGGCUGGUCACAUGAGCCAGCUGACACGACCGUCACACGCAAGAAUUUCUCUGAACAAAAACACCAUGAACAAUAUGAAAUCUCAACACAAAGAGCCCUUCAUCUUGUUCAUUAGAUUUUUGGUAAAUUUUGCCGGGACGUCAACUAAUCAAUUCGAUGUAGCAUCAUCAUGACCCUCAUCAGAUUAAUCAAUGAGAACUUUUGCAAAGUUCCAACAACUCUCUUUAGCAAAAAAAUUAGUGCUACCAUGAUAUUGGAACACAUGCAUAAAGAAUCGAGUAUGAUGGUAGCCACGACCUUCCUAUGAUUGCACACAGCCAUACACGUCCUUAUCAUAAUUCUCUUAGUUUUUCGCCAAGCCACCAAUUCCAAGCUUCUAUUUAUAUAUCAUUAUUAUCUUAUUCUCUCUUUCAGCUUUGUACUAUUACUCUUGAUUCUGGUUUUGCCAAUGUCUUCCUGCUCUGAGUCUCACCAGGUCGCUUCUUCUCCUUCAUCUUCUUCUCCUUCCCAACAUUCGAGUCCAAUGAUAAAAGUAGUGCAGCUGGUUCCGAAAUCGACAUCGGAUCGACUUCUGGAGAAGUUCUUUGACGCUACACAGUAUGACUUUGAUUACAAUGAGCAGAGUGGAUUGUGGUCUCCUCCUGUGCAUCGUAGUGUGUUCAUGAGCUCACAAGGUAAAAUAUUCACUGAACAUGAAAUGCAUGCCAAGCUUACAACUCUAAUGGCUGCUCAAGCUCGUUCUUCAACACGCCACAAACUUCGCUGCCGAGUAAGUUCAUUUCUAACAAGCAAUUUCAUCUAGCAACAUUGUGUGUUUGGUUAUUAGAUUCCUUUGAACAUGAAAAUUUUGAUUUUCUGUAGGUAUUUUGGUGCUCUUGAAGCAUAUCUUGGAAGCCAGCUUAAUAUAUAUAUUGAAGAGGAUUGCAGGUCAAGAAACAAGUAGCUAGGUAGCAAACAAGAAUUAAGAGGAAACAUGGGAUCCUCAGAAAUUUAGAAACCCAAUUGUAAUUUCUUCUCUUUCGUCAUGUAAAUUGCAUGCUCAUUGUUCAGAGUACUACAAAGGAAAAUGAUAAUACGAUUGCAAAUAUUUUGUCAUCGAGCCAUGUCUUUCUCUAUGUUUGUUUUCUAUCUUUUCGCCUGUUCGAACUUCAAACAAAGAUUCUAAUUAGCUAGUGAUUCAGUACUACACAAAUUUACUGCAGAUUAGUGAAGGAAUGGUAGAUGUGUAUUAGGCUAUUAGUUACUAUGUCAGUUUCAUGAUGACAUACAGUAGCGGCAGCCCCAAACUUGAUUAUGACUUGUAGGGAGGUUGACGUUGCUCGAUUCAAAUUGAGCUAUUCGCAAUGGGAAAGUGGGAACUGGGAACAUGAGGGCAGGUUUCCCCACAAACUGUAUUUAGUAAUGUCAAUGUCAUGAUGCAAAUUUUGACAGAAUGGGGAAAAACAAUUAGCCAAUUAGAAAAAUCACUGCUCAUUCACAGUGAUAUAGCAAAGGGAAUAUUUAUAGCAUGCUCUUUAGAAAUCUGGUUCAUGUGGUCCAUAUCCGACCUAUUUUAGAGAUGGUGUUCUAGCCUAUUGGAACUUCAGAAUCGGAACUCGGAAGCCGUUUCGUUGAAUAGUAAUGGUAAUAGAGCAGGAACAAUGCCGUCUGUGCUUCACAGACUUCUAAGAUUCCCUUUUGCAGAAAUUUCCUGUUGUACCAAACAGAUGCUCUGUUUUGUAUGACAAGAAGUUAAAAGGAUGAGCCUACAUCACAUCAAUGCUAACAUUGCAGUAAUUGCUCAGAGAAAGAGAGCUGAGCUUGUCAAACUAUGCGGCUUUCGUCAUUCACACUAUAUUAAAUUUUGCAGAUACAAUGCAAGAGAAAAUACAGUAAUUGAUGCUAAAACUAUCGGCUGGAAACUCCAUGAGGCCUCAACCUACCUCUUUACUGAAAGUUUCAUGUACUAUUGAAAAUUGUAAAUGUUCUUCAGUUCUUCUCGUAGUACUUCCGCUUCAUAAUGAAUUUGGUGUGGUAAGAUAAUUCAAUGUGAUUUCAACUGCCUGACUACAGUCUACAGCACCCACAAAAGAAAUGUAUACACUAUAAUAGUAUAAUGUUUCAUAACCAACCGAAACCCCUUCUGAAAGUGGCAUGGGAACCUAUUAUAUUUCACCUGAAACCUUUGAACUCCAGUCAUUCAGUUUUAUGUUCCUCUAGAAGCCUCUACCUUUCCCUCUUGUAGGUAUGGGUAUAUAUAUACACCUGCAACCAGAGAGACGGGUAGCAUAGCCGUUAAAACCAGCUCAAGAACUAACUUGCUAGUAUUACAAGGGAAUGAUAUAACUGUACUCUGAAUGAUAUAGAUACAUAAGAGAAGUAUCUAAAUUCGAAACUCAAUUUAAGGCUUCAUUUACAAAUGAGAAACAUAUCGGUUAGCUUUUCUUCACACUGCUGAGAGAACCACAAUCUUGUAGAUAAAAUAUGCUUAGUCAUAUUUAGCUUUGUAAUACUUACGGGGUUAAGGUUGAACAUAGCUCUAUGCAUAAGCUUUAAACCGGUACAGGAUUUUGUUCCAAGACUUCUUUUCCUGUAAUUCCAUCCUUCAAAGUUUUAAAGUAAACAUCGUAGUCCUUCUCAGGGGGUGGAUUUUCAGGGUCUACUGUAAAUGGCUCGCUAAAUGGUAUAACACUUUUAACCUGCAAAAGGGGUAGUUAUACACAUAAGACAUUGUCCAGACUUAAAAGAAAGCAAUUGGUGAUUGACUGAACUCCAAAAGCAAAUCAACAGGAAGUACGGGAUACAAGUCGAGAGUUAAACCUCAAAUGUCUUGCCAUUUGCAUAUGGGCUUUCUAAUGCAGCAACACAAAUUUGAGCAACCUCUUCUCUUGAUAUCUUACCCUGCAUAGAACAUAUAGCAUAUAACAUAUAAUUAAAAAAAAAAAACUAGUCCAGAAACACUGUUCCAUUGGAUGAAUAAGCUGAAAGUGAUCAUUGACAUUUUAGUGAACCAUUUGAUUGUUAUUCCUUUGAUAUCUUACUCUGCAUAUAUAAAACACAUAUAUAUCAUUUCAUCAGAAACAGAGCAUUAACUAGUAUUUUCGUCCAAUAACCAAAGAACCAAAUUCCAGAGUCUUUUGAAGCACAGUUCAAUUGGAUAAUAUCAACAUGGAAAAUCAAAAUGAGAUAAAUUUUCACCAAACAUACAAGCAAUCAGGAACAUAAGUCUCCAUUUACCGUUAUAUUAUCUCCUUGUUCAAAAAUGAGAUCUGCUCCAGCAGGCUCCUCAGUUAAUGCACAAGGCCUCACAAUUGUAUAUGGAAUUCCACUUUCCCGAAUUAAAUCCUCCCCCUGUUACUAACAAAUGUAAGAAACUGGAGAGGAACAAAAUCAGGAAUUUUCUUUUUGUUUAAAUUGGGAGUCAGUUUGCUACAUAUAAACAGCAGUAGAGUACUAAGAUGCAGUAAUCAAAUAGUUCACAUUGGUUUAGUAUGAACCUUCAACUUGAAAGUCAGGAUAAAAUCCAAUUCCUUGUUCAACCGCACAGCAGGAGGUUGUCUACUUAGAUCAAGUCCAGGUCUCUCAGGCCGGGUAACUCCUGCAGAGCUUACAUGUACAAACCUACAUGUAAACAAAGGAAAUGAUGUAAAGAAAGAAGCAGAAAGUUAACCAAGCUGAUCAAUUAUGUUCGGCAUAAGAAAGAUGUUCAACCAAAGAAAAAGAGUUUUUAAACCUGGGAGUUAUAGGAUCUUUCAGAUAUGCCUUUAUGCUUGAAACUGGGAGCUUAAAUGCCCCUUCCACGAAAGUAGGAUUGAGUUUUCCAUCAUAUUCAAACUUGCUGAACAUAAGCUGAAAAACAAUUUCCAAUUUCUCAUAUGGAAUAAAAUCUUCAAGUGAAAGAAUGAGUAGGAAAAGUGGCUGAAGAAAAUUACCUGCAGUGACACAAUAUUGCUCGGGUCAAAUGAUGGCGCAUCUGGUACUGUUUUUGCACGAAAUAUCGGCCUCAAAGAAGUAAAUGGAAGCCUUACCUGUAAAGAAAUGAUAGAUUUUCUACUUUAAUGUAGGUUGAAGUGUUGGAGAGUUUCAAACAUGAUUCCGUUCAUGAAAAAGUGCCCCAAAACAGAUUUUGAGAAACAAAUCUGGAUUCAUAUAUCAACCCACUUUCAUAAUGCAAUUUCAAUAGGAAAAUAAAAUCAGGUUUUGAAAGCCAAAUUAUUCUGUGGGGAACUUGGAAUUGCUUUUAAAAAGAACAUUAUGUCGCUAUGAUUGUAAGAGAACUCUUAAAACCCCAAAAUUGAGAGGAUUGUUGUAAACUUGUAAUACUCACUGUCUGCCAUUGGUCUCCUACAGUGUCAAAGCCUGCUGUGUAACCAACAGUAUCCCAAUCACCACUGGUCCGAACAAUUAGCUUAUAACGACGACCAUCACCUUUAAGGCGCAGCUCUAAACCAUCAUAUGCAGAGAGAUCCUCAGGUGUUGAUAGAUUCUAAAAAACAUGCCACAAUUAAGGAAAGCAAGCAAUUUAGAAUAUCUUGUAUCUUCACUGCCAAACUUAAUAUUACACUUGACAGGGACUUAGUAAUUGAACAUUUGAUGUCAAAAAACAUACAUGACUGGGAAUAGAUAAAAUUUCUAACAAUCAAAAGAAAGCAUAGCUGUUUACCUUUGUUCUGAUGCUUGUAAAUCCACCAUUAUUUGCGGUGGAAACAACUCCUGAAGUAGAAAUACCAAAUAAAUUAAAUGUUUGAGUUGAUGCAACCCAAUAUGAAAAAGAUUACCACUCAUCAACAGUUUUAUAAAAUCACCAGUAAGAAAACACUAGACAAACAGAAGUCUAGAGUUUACAAAAAAACACACCUUUAAAAAGUCCAGUUGGUCCACCAUCUUCGCUGCCAUUUGGGUCGAUCAGAAAUGUACUUUCACUCACUCCACCCAUCACAACAUCAUCUAAAGCUCCCCAAGCCAAUUCCCUACAAUUAUUACCUGAAGAUUGAAAAAGAACUUAGAUUAUAAAUGUGUUAUUGGGUCAGAAAAACAAUUAUUUUAGGUAUGGAUUUCCGAAGAUGUUACAAGCAUAAAAAUAAAACAAACAAUUCAGUUCAUUUUGAUAUAUCAAAUAUUCGACUGUAUAAUCACAGACAACUCAGUAACUUAUGGGGGCCAGAUUAAACAUUCACAAUCUUUCCUAGCUCAACCAGAUCUGUGAAUGACUAUUUAGAAAUUUUUUUUAAUUUUUUUUUAUGGUACUGAUCAAGCUUGAUCUUACAAUUUUAUUUAUCAACCAUUGAUUUGUACAAAAAAAUCAUUCUAUUUAUUUUUACAAAAACUGCUGAAAUGACACAGCAUAAGACGAUGAUUAGUAGUUUCACCUUAUAGAAAAGCGUACCUUCAUAUCCAAAUAAUAGUUUUCCAUUUUGAAGUCCAACACUUUGCUUUAGAGCAUUAAUCAAAUUUUUCAUCCCAAUGUACUCCACCUUUUCAGGCGAAUCUCCCUUGAUCUGGUUCCAUCAAUAAGCCAAAGCUUCAUAGUUACUAAGUGAAACAUGCAAAUAAAUGGGAAAAUAAUUUCAAGUUUUAGUUUAAACAUUAUUCACAACAAAAUUGUGACUCCAGAUACAGAAUGUAAGCAAUCAAUUCCCACCUCUGGUUCAAAGAACUUGAUGCCCUGCAGCACACCAAUUUAAAAGUCAAAUGCCUGCUUAAAAUUAUAAAGAGAAAGAAAAAACAAACUGCGGGACAUAUUUGAGGCUCUUUGGCAUGAGAAAUAUAUGUCAGGCAAGUUUAUAACUUAAAGAUAUCCAACACUAGAACAGAUAGAAGUUAAAAUGGAGUAUCCUCAUCUCAACAAUGUGUAGAACAUACUUGGCUGUAUUUUUGCCUGUCAGGAGUGUCCCCUUCCUUUGGACCAACAAUGACAGAAACAGCAUUAAUCACUUUCCUGACUCCUUUGAAGUACUCAGGGAUCAGAGUACUCUCCUUAGUAAUGUCUCCAACAAUCUGAGAGUUUUACAGGAAAAACAAGUCGUCAAAGUUAACAAUGUUAAAUGUAACAGAUGAAACUAUAAUCCCUAACCAAAUAUGAAUCAAACAACUAAAUUUCACUAAGGAAACUGAAGAACAUAGGUUGCUAGCCCACCAAGUCAAUGUCUGGGCCUAACAUCUGUCUUGCUUUCUGUUCAUUUCUAACCUGAAAGAAUAAAAGACAAGCAAAAAAGAUCAUGCAAGUGUGAAUGAAAACAGAUGGUCGUGAGUCAAGAUAUCAUGCAAUAAGUAAGCUAAUUAAAGGUAAGAGCAUAAUACCAAUACUCGAACUGGAAUUCCUUUCUUCCUUAAGAUGUUGACUACCCUUCGACCUACACCACCAGUUGCUCCAGCCACUAGGACAGUGCCAGAAGUUUCCAUUCUCUUUACUGAUUCACUGGGUGACGGGCUGGAUAUUUUGCUGACUAAAGACUCAAAUAUCUUCACAGCACAGGUACCAAAUUUUUGUUAGUUGAGUGACAUGUUUAUCUUUCACUGUCUAAAAUGAAGUCGAAAACUCUAGCAGUGUCCAACCUUAGCAGGAGAGGGUGGUUCAUUGAAGAAGAAUAACGUUUUCAAGAAUCUACCCAAGUCCCAACCCUGGCUUCCAGAUUGUGCUAUUAUGGAUCUUUUCGACGUUCUCCGAGAUAGACGAUCAGAUUUUAGUUGGCUGAGGAAGGUCUGUGGUCUGCCAUUAAGUUGAAGAAAUGGUUUAGGAAGUGAAGGUUUGUUAAUAAGUUUCCUACCAACAGGUGAUGGAAAAUCCUGCAACCAACCCAUCAUUGAGUUAUAACAAGUAACAUCACCAACUAAUACUAUACUCCUGCACCAAUAUCCGUUUUCCAAUUAUCAAUCUUUUCACAUGAACAUGCUCAUUCAUGAAAUGAAAUUCCAUUUGGGUUGGUUAAUAAAGCUUGGCAAGGUUAUUACCUAUUACAUAGAGAUAAAGAAACCCACUUUUCCAAUUAUAAAUACAACCAGCAAUGAACCAAAUUGGAUUCAAAAACGCAGAAACAAAAAUGGCUAAGCUUUGUUCCUACACAUGCUUAUCAAUCAUUGAUUCAACUAAAGAGUACAACUUUAUUGAACAUUUGCACAUAGAACUGAUAAGGAUUAACAUUAGCGUUAUGUAGUUACCUGAAGAUUGAGAGCUGAGGAAGACGAGAGCUUAAUGACACCAAAUUCCAUUGUCCAGGAGAGUUGGAAAGUACCUUCGAGUCUGUUCUGGGGUAUUUAUCCUGUUGCUGAUAUUUGAGUUGGAGUGAAUACCGACCACAUACUAACAGUCAGUUUGACAGUUAUGAUCUUGGAAACGACUCCUAGUAGUAGUAGAACUGUAGAAGCCUCACUUUCUCUAUGCAAUUUGGUUCGCUCAUUCAGCCAUUGCUAAUAGUCAAGGAGGUUGGUAUGGAGAGUUUAAGCUCCACCAUGAGGCCCAUGAAACAUAAGAUCGAAUGAACAGCCCCGAUAACCACUUCAACUCAGUGACCCACGUCAGGCCCGUUGGAUAUUUCAGUUAAACUCAGCCCAUGCAACAGUGGAAAUGAUUUGAUAAAACGAUCUAAACACGACAUGAAAAUAGCAGUGGCAUCACUGGCAUGAACACGAAUCACGAAUGUGACAUAAACCAGACAGAUUAGUCUGGAAGUGAGCGAAUCUGAUAUUGAUACAAGGUAAACAAGCUGAAUUCCAGGGUUUGCUACUAACUAGUUAAGUGCCAUGUUCAACCAUAAUGUCUCUACCUGUACCCACUAGUUAGUCACUUGGUCACAAACCCUGAAAUAUUCAUCCAUCCACUACUGUUCUUCUGAUUAGGCCUCGAGCAGCAGUAUGACAGAAAAUUAUCCCUCAUAUUCCCGCUACGGUUUUACUCAUCUGGAUUAGAAUCGGUGUGAAAAGAUAGGCAACAUUUUCCUAAAUGGCGCAAAGUAGCUUUUAAGGGCGUUUACUAAACUUGAAUGUGAUCGAGCGUUUUCGCAAGAGAAGCGUGCGUAGCUUUCAGUGUUUACCAAGAGGAAACAAACUCACGUGUGCAUCUGCCUCCCUAAAUUGUCAUAUUAUGUAUUUAGUCCUGCCAUCAUUAAUUUUGCAGCCCCUCUUGGUAUUCGAAUGUCAGAAAUACUACGAUUUUCCGGGAAGAAAACGCCAUUCUUGUUGAAAUGGAAGGAUGCAGAAGAACGUACUCUAGCUCACUUUCUUGUAUGCUGAAGUACAUGAUGGGAAAUCUAAUUGGCCUUCUAGCAAAUGGAAUAUUAUUAAAUGACUGAUAUUUCAUGCUGAAUAAUUUCUCUGAUCCUAUACAUGAGUCACGCUAAAUUAUAUAUAUGAGCAUACAUUUUUUAUGUCACAUUGGUCAAAGAAUUAAGAUAUAACAGAUAAAAGUUGUCUAAAUAAGACACCUGAGCUGCUGACACUGGUGAAUGGUUUAGGGUUUCUUUGUUGACAUUCUGCCCUACAGUUUCUUCUUCGUUGGGGCCGUUCAUGCCGACACUAGAGGAAAUUAUUCAACUCCUUGCUGUGAUCUUGUUGAGCUUAUUUUGCUGCAUAAUGCAGGCAACUCAUUACUCAUGCAUGUUUGGUUUGUUCUUAGUAGCAUUUAAGUCAACAAUAUUGACAUGGUUUUGUCUGUAAUAAACAUAGUAUAUAUCAUAUAUGCGAGGCCACUGUGAUCUUCUUCAUUUGAAUCAUAAGCUCUUGUGUUUGAUCGAAAUAUCGGUUUGUUGAUGAGCGUUAAUGUUGAACUCUUUAAUCGGCUUUUGCAUAACAAUAAAGUUAUAUCAAAGCUUGAGAUUCAUAUAAUUCUUACAGAUCAAUUAAUCUAGCUAUAUGAUCAUAAGGCUUGCAUAUGUUCAUGUUUUCCAUAAUGUCUGAAUAAACUAUAAAACCCAUCGGAACUAACACUAUUUUUCUAUGAGAAUCAAGACUAACAAUUAAUAUAAGAAAUAAGGUCCUCUACAAAUUAAACCAAAUAAACGAUUCAUAGUAUAUCAUAUCUAAUUAGGAGUACCAUGAGGGAUUGUCGAUCACCAAAAUUUUUACAAAAUCUUUUCAUAUAAUCAUAUCUUCUGGUCUUCUAAAGUUUCUUUUGGGAUGGUCCAUCUAAUCGUGUCUCAUACGAAAGUUGUUGGUGACUUUCUUAAACAAAAACCCAAAAUAAUGGAUCUCAUUCACUAGCUACAACUCGACCAAACUUUGUCGACAGUGGAUAUAUACAAUAUAGAAAUAACACGAUGUCAAACACUCCAAUCUUGUCAAUGCCCUAAUUGUUAGUGCACUACAACGAAAUGCCAUUAACAAAUAAGUGUUGGAUUAUAAGAAGCCAAAUCUUCAUUCUCUAAUCCUAACUACUCCUUCUAAAAACUAAUCUAGGUACAAGUUAAUUAAGUGGUCAACUUUCAUAACAAUGUUUAAUGAUAAGAAUUAAGGUUUUUGUGGCUCUAAACUGAAAGACUGUAGUCCACGUCUAGCAUAGUUCUUUGACGUCUUAUAGUGCUAGCAUAUGCUUGGACAUAGUGAUGGAAUUUGAUACUCUAUUUACAAUUAUAGUGGUUUGUGUAACUAAACAUUAUUUUAGGGGUGACUGUUGCAUAAUAUAUAACACUACAAGUCUACAAACUUGAAGGUAGCCAACAUGUCGCAUGGCCUCUCUGCAUCUGAAGCAGUCACACACAACCGCGUAUCAACGCCUAACAAGUUGUUAUGAUGCAAAUCCCACUGUAUAUAGUACAGCACAUUUAUAUAUUUCCGCUAUUUGAGGUUGAAAGGGGAGUCGAGAAGAGCUUCUGUUCUUGGCAUCUGAUUAAUUAAAUUGUUGUUUAAUUCUGUCGAUUCCUCUUGUUGUGAGCUAUGUUCUGGAUUUCUUGUUUGUUUCUUUCGGAAAUGAUGUUGUAUGCUGAUACUUGGUAACAGCUAGGACUAAUGGCGCCAAAAACUAAAUUAUUAUCUUUCUUUCUGAAUCCAAAGAAAUAGUCAAGGACGUCAUUCGAGUUAUAUAUGGUUAGUGCAAAACAAAAUAGAGACAAAGAGAAGGAUAUUUGGCUUUACUUGAAUUUCGUGAUUAUUAUGUUUUAAUUUUCUCUUUUGUUAGAUAUCUUUCUCUGUCAGAUCGAAUUUGCAUGUAAAUCUCGUAUUAAAUUUGUAUAGUUGUUUUAAUAUGAUAUUCUUUUACACAAAUAAAAGAGCGUGGAAGAUCGAUGGAACAAUCAAUUAGCCAAACCAGUCCCUUUUUAACAUUGCAAUGUGACUUUGAGAUCAUUGACAUUUAAGUCCAGUGAUCCUCAUUUUCUUCUCUUAGAUUUCAUACAGAUUCCAAAUUUCCAAUUCCAAUCUUUUCCACGUAAAGUGAGAAACAUUGUAUACUUUUCUCGUUUUAGCUAGUUAUCUUCUCAUCCAUGAGUUUCAGCUAGCUAGCUUCAGCUUAAUUAUUCAAUAUGACAAAGCUAGCGUGGAUACCACGAAUCAUCAAAAUGACAAUAAAUAAAAUGAACAAGAUUUUGGACCGUAGUCACAUUUUCGAAUUGCUUAUUAACGUAUAUUGGGGUGUGAAUAUGAUUGCAAUGAAUUCAGUUUUUCCAGAAGUAAUGAUAUACUGAUCUACAAAUGGCAUAUGCUAACUGCAUUGCAUGCCAUUUAAUUAUCUGCACAAAGUAGCUUUAUAUAAAUGACCAAUUCUCAAAUUUAAUGCAUUUAUAUGGAUUACACUUAAUCCCAACAAGCAGUUAAAUAGAAUGUAUACCGCUUAUUCCCAACAAGUAAUUAAUACCAUAUGCAUUUUUUUAAGAAUGACGUUAAGUCAUAUAUUGAUCAAACACAAGUAUGUAAUAACAUAAACACGACUCACCUUCGCGGGUUCUACAAAACAACCUAAAAGACAGGUACCCCAAAUUAAUAUAUAUGUAUAUAGAAUACAGUAUAUAAGAACAAGAAAUAUUUAAUCAUACUAGAAAAUGUUAACUCGUAAUCGUUAGUCUUCUUAACUAGAUAGCCCUAUAUCCGGUUAAUCCAUUAAUAUUUAUCUCUAUGAUAGUAAGAUUACACUACGGGUUCAGUGCUGGCCCCGGCGUGCUCCAAGAGUAAUCGAAGUUAACUAGCACCCUCCUUUGUAUAGGUGUAUUAAGUUGAACACUGAUGGGGCAUGAAAAAGUAGUUCGAACAAAACUGGUUAUGGUGGGGUAUCUCGUGAUUACAGUGGCAAAGUUAUGGGUGCUUUUUGCUAUAACUUGGACAUUCCAAGCUCUGUUGCUGCUGAAGUUAUGGCUAUUAUCAAGGCUAUUGAAUUAGCUUGGGUACGGGAGUGGAAGCAUAUAUGGUUGGAAGUAGACUCAGAGAUAGUUUUUAGUUUCCUUCGCUCUCCCACUUUAGUGUCUUGGCAACUAAGUGUAGAGUGGAGCAAUUGCUUGUACUGAAUUUCUUAGAUGAACUUUCACUAUUCUCAUAUAUUUCGAGAAGGUAACAAAGUUGCAGAUGCAUCGGCAAAUGAAAAGAUAAAGUCUUCAGGUUUGACGUGGUGGGACUUGUCCCCAAAUUUUGUUAUUUUCUCUUUGUAAUAACGAUUGGUUGGAGCUCUCCACCUUUUGUUUCUGUUAGCUUUUGUUGUUUUGUUAUGAUCGAGUUAUAUGUUUGUUUUUUGUUUUUGAUAAGAGUUGAGUUAGGUCCCUCCUAUGAUGUGUUUCUCUUUUUUCUUUUCAAUAAAUUACACUCGUUUCAUUGAGGUUUAAGCAAAACAAAAAAAAAAAAAAGAAUUACACUACGGGUGAAGAUAAGCGAAGAUUUUUCCGAAUAUAUCUUUACUAUUUUCCGAAGAAGCCAAGUUAAUGCUAGCCGAGCCGCAAGCAUAGCAGCUGAUUAAUAUAGCCGAAGGAUGCGCAUUGAAUUUUCAGGGAAGGGUUUGGUAUGUGACGGUGGCGCGUAUGUAUGCUCAUGAUCAAGAACUUGCCGAGAAAGAAAGAAAAACAUAUGGGCCGGCGGCUUCGCUCACGAUCACCAAACCUAAACCCUUCUCCACGCGGCGCUCUCUCCCGCCCCGAUAGGUCUACAUGCAGCAGUUUGAAAAAUCAAAAUUAAAAUUCGCAGUCACAUUACUCUGACCAAUAAUGCGACUUCACACUUUCACAGUCCAAAUCUCUCUUCCACUCCCAGUUUUUGAUCUUUGACUCGGCCAACCCCGAAACGUGAUCCCCAAGCUGCUCUCUCCCUCCCUCUGUUUCUCUCUCUAGCCGCCGCCACGCGGUCGCACUACAUUAGCUUUCUCUCUCCUCCUUCGCUAUAUAUAAGGAGCUAGCCUCCCUGCUUCCUAACCCCAACAAACCACUCCCUUUUCGGCAUUCACAACCAACCCAGCUCUCUCUCUCUCUCUCUCUCUCUCUCUCAGUUUUCUGUACCGUUCACGAUCUCCAUGGCUCGCCUGAGCGCUUUGGCUUUGGUUUUCUUGGUGGUGUUUGCCACGGUUGUGUCUACCUUAGAAGGAAGAAGGCUUUUGGACACGAAAGAAUACCAGUUCAAGAAGAAAGCUGCGUCGAAAUCGUUGGAUGGAUCUCUGUUCCUGAGUGCCCUUCCCAAGGGUAAGGUGCCGGUUUCUACCCCAAGCAAGAAGGGUCAUGCGUUCGUCGUCGACGAGAAGCUCAUUGGUCGGAGGCAUUUGGCUGGAAACGAACGGUUCCUGCAGUCUGUUCCCAGCCCCGGCGUUGGCCACUAGCACUAUACAUUCCCGGCCGGUUUUAUAAACCAUCUAUUUUUUCAUUAGGUUAUUUCUAUACAAUUUUGGUACUGUUGGGUUUAGAUGAGAAUUUCAGUGCAGUGAUGUUUAAUUGCAAUGUAUAGACAGACAGUGUAGUAGUAGUCAUCUCUUUCAUUUCCUUUUCUUGGGAUCAAAAUUGUAACUUGCAUCCCCUUAGAAUAUUAAAGACAGCUUACAGAUAUUUGUAGCCAAAUUUCAACUCUAUUGUUCUUCUUCAUUCAAUCUUUUUCUCUGUUAGUUCAAAAUUGCGCGCGAGUAAUUGAGUUCAUUUGUGACGGAUAGUCGCGCGCAAAAUUUAUCUUUAAUCUAAAAGAACUAACAACAAAAUCAUAAUCUAAUAACUCUUAGCAUUUUUAAUUACUCUCGAUCAUUACCAAUCCUCUAAAAGAAAGAAAAGGUAACCAACAUUGAAUUUCAGUAUUUUUGUGGCGAUUUUGCUUGCAUUUGGUUAACAAGGCUAAGGUUGGCAUGUUGUCAAUUAAUUAAAGUCUCUCUACAAUGUAGUUUCGCUUUCAUACAUAUAUGCUCUAUAUAGCUGUAUUUUAUCUGGGUUGGUGAAGCUUCAAUUCUUAGAGAACAGGCGGUUUUGUCAUUGAUUCUUGUACUUAUGCGUAUCAAAUAGCUCUAAGCAUCUUCUGCUAUUGGGAAAUUUUGCACUCUACUAAACUUGCACAAAUUAAUAAAGCUUUCCUUUAAAUUAAUGUUGAACUAAAAUAAAGCUUUGCAUGGACGACCAUGUAUAUAUGCAAUGCCAUUUGGCUUUCAUUAGCUCUAAUAACUUGAAAACCCAAAGAGUAAGUGUAUGUUGAACAGGCAAAAGCGCGUUUCGGAGAGUUGUCAUCAACAAAUCCAAUUGAUUCAUUGUUGUUGAUGGUUAUUGCUUGCUAUGAAACUAUCUUGUGCAAGUAAAGUCUAAAAUUUUCAAGGAACCAAAAGAAGAAGAAGAAGAAGAACAACAAAGAAUUCUUUAGGAUAAAAUUUGCUAAUGUUUUACAAUGAUCUAUCUUAAUUGAAUUGGUUGAGCAAACUACUAUCAGCCAAGAUAACUUAGCUAGGAGUGACAUAGAUCCAUGCAUGUGUGAGAAACUUAGAAUUUUUUUCACAUUCAAAAUGUGCACAUUUCAUGGUUUGAGAAACAUUAAGGUUAGUGAUCAAUCAUGUAUGUUAAUUAAAUUUGAGACCUUAUUUUUAACAGGUAGCUAGAUUAAUAACAGUAGCUAUAACCAUCAUAGUAGUCAAUAAGCCAAGAUUGAUGCAUAUAUCACUCCAAUUUCUAACCACCAAGAUUGACUAGCUUGGAGGAUGAACCCGAGAAAUUAACAUGAAAGAGCCUAUAUGCAUGUUUCUCUCAACAACGAUCGCCAUCUUAUCUUUUAACUUUCAAAUCAUCAAGAAUUCUCCAUCUAAGAUCAAGUAGCUAGCUUAGUCACAUCGAUCUCCUUGUUUCCACAACCUUUAUUUCUUCUAGCCUUCCUCAAAAGAAAAAAGAGUGACCAAAAAUAAUCAAACUAAUAAAGAAUGGAAUAUUGGUUGAUGAGUAGUGUACGUCAAAUUCCAAAGUCUGGUAUAGCGAAACUCAUUUAGUUUGGACUUUGGUCCAUCUUCCAUCCACAUCUUUCACCCUCUUGCACAUAAAAUUUCCCUGAAAUGAAGAACUUGCUAACCUUCAUUUUCAGUAUGAUUAGACUAAUUACCCCAGUCACAUAUUUUGGACACACCACCGUCGACAUUGAAUAUAUAGAACGAAGUUCACUGUGAGCAGGCCUUACUAAUUGAAUAUAUUAGUAACCUCUCUUUUCGUUUAAAUCAGUGAUCGUAUCUUUUUUCUUUCUAUCAAAACAAGUAUGUGCCAGAUAGAAAUUUGAUCAAUGAAUCGAUUAAAACAAGUAAUCCACGUCUCUGUCGGUGAGCUGUGACUUGGUUAGUUAAAGUGUUUAACUAACAACUUUAAUGUCAUGAGUUCAAACCUCACUAAACAUAUGUAGGGUAUGUGAGUUAUUAAUAAAAAAUAAAUAAAAAAAGAAGUAAGGUAAUCCACGUCCUCACAAUGUGGUUCAACUAGCAAUAUUGCUGGUAACGCAAAUCAUCGAACCUAGCUAUGAAUUACAAGAGGAGGGACAUGGGUGUCUAUAAAUUCUUUCAUUUUCCUUCGCACGUACGUUAUGUGAACUUAGUGGAAGAGAGAAAAACCCUACAAACUAGAAGACAAGUCGGCUUUUCCAAAGAAAACACACGGGGCUCCACGGACCGCCCAAUACAGUAAAAUUAUUUGACGUUGGAACUCUGUGUUCCAUUCUAUUAUUUGUGAUUCUGCAUGGGCAGUUGGGCACUGAUUCUGCAAAGAUGCUCAAGUUUAAUUUUACAUUUUGGUUGCCCAGAAGCAUAAAAGAGAUUGAAGGCUGCGGGUUUCAAGAAAUACAUGAAAUGAACUGGUAUUAUUAAGGGGGGUUUAGGGUAAUGGAGUCAAGUGAGGAUGGGUGUAACGUGCAAAACAAGUCACCUGCUUAAACAUAGGCUGCGCCACCACACCCCACCCCACAAAGAUAUUUUCAAAAUUUGACUUUUAUGUUUUCAUACUAUUUGAGGAACCUUAAUUUCAGCAAACUGACUAAUAAAGAAGGAAAAUUAUGUUGUGCCAUUAGACAUAACAUGUCUGCUGGGAACAUUGGCAGAAUUUGCAACCCACCACCCUCUGCUGGACCCCUCCCCCUCCCCCCCCCCCCAUGCUGAACCUCUCCCUCUUUAGUGAUAGGCAUGUUAUACUGUUCGGUAUAAUAGCCAAAUCCAAUAAAAAAAGCUUUCUUGCCAUGUUUCGUUAUGUUCUUAGCUUCAAAUGUUUUUCUUUUAAUUGAUAUUUUGAACUGAACAAAAUACCCUCUUAGAUAUAGAUAAUCUGAAGCACUAAUUUCAUUACUGGCAAAAUGAAAUGCGGGCAAAAGCUCAAGUUAAAUCAGAAGGUCCUUUUAUAUGGGGGUAUGGUUUGGGAUGAACAAAAAUAAUGAAAAUUACUAGCAUUACUCUCAUCUCUUAAUCAUUAUCAUGUUCUUGAAUUGUAGCCGUGUUGCUCUGUUUGAUAAUUAAGGAUUAGUUUCUCCGGUCGUCAUUCAUUAAAUUUGAAGUCGAGUGAGUUCGAUCUUCAUCAAGUGACACCAAAUCAAACGGGCCUAAACAAAGCCACAACUUGUUUCCCGUCUCUGGUGUCUUGGUUACGCAGCAAAAGCCCAAUAGAAUCACCAUAGAGGUUCAUGCAAACUUGCAAAGUGUCUGUGUGGUUAGGCUUAUUCACUAAUCAAGGUGCGUGUGAGUAUUUGAACCUCAUUACUCACAACACAAACGACGGGGAAAUUAAUAGAGAAACAUUAUUUUUACAUGUAAAAGGGUAAUUAACUUUACAGGAAGUUCACGACUAGAACCAAUUGAAGAAAGAUUGAUUAAUUAGAAGAAACGAGAGGGUAGAUUUAGAGAUACAAGAGCACAGUACGUUGCAGAUCGACAAGAAGAAGAUCGAUCGGAUCUUGGCUUAGCUUUCUAUAGGGAGAAAGGCCUGGUGAAUACAUCAAACACUUCACUUGAAGUUAGCUGUGGUUCUUGUAUCGGUGAGGCUGCAUCAAUACAAUCCUUAACCACGGUAGAUCGCAUUGCAAGCAACAAGUUUCCAUAUGUAUUUCCACACCCUCGAUCAAUGGCAUCGAUGAAAGCCCAAGUCAUUGCACCUCGUGGGAUUCCUUUCUCCACAGAAUUCUGAUGAUCAUCACAUCCGCUAAAGGAAAUGACCUCUCCACCUUUUGUUCCUUUCCAAACACCACCUUUCUUAGGUCCUCUAUGUUCCUUCCAGAACCACCUCCGUCCACUUUUGUCUAUUUUACAAAGAAACGGCAAGUCAAGAACAGUACCACUGUGGCAAGCAUCCACAAUAGCAUGCAGCUUGACACCAGCCGGAAUAGGUCGGACAAUAAUGUCAUUGAUCUCGUCAUCAACGAUCACUCCCUUAGUCCCGUAAUCUAAGGGUAAGAGUGUCUCGUCUAGUUCGUCCUCCUCGUCUCCUGUGUUGUUCGGCUUCUGAUCACCAUGACCGGAAAAAUAAAACACCAACGAAUCUCCAGCUUGACAAUCUUGCACAAGCCAACGUAGUGCUAACGUUAUGUUUGUCUUGGUAGGGGCCUGAUGACCUUUCAUUUCAGUGAGCAUGCGAAUGGAAGACGCAGGGAAUUUGAACUCACUAUCCAGCAAGGCCUGCAUUGAAAUGGCAUCGUUAGUGCAGCCAUCGAGCUCCGUAUUCUUCCCCAUUCCCUUGUAAUUUAUGCCACAUAUCACGGCUCGCUUGCGUUGGUGGGGGAACCGAGAAGGCGGAGGAGGGCGUUUGUUGUAGGAGAAAAAGGAGAAGGCAUAUGAGAGGGGAGGAGGGAGCUCGAUGUUGUUGUAGGAGAAAGAGGAGGAGUAUGACCGGGGAGGAGGAGGAGGUGGACACAUUGAGUAUGCAAAGCGCACGAGGGUCUUGCAUCUGGAGCAGCAUACAUUCUGAGAACGUGUAGGUAGUGCCUGCAGAUAUGUUUUGCAGUUUGAGCAAUUUAGAGGCAUGAACAUAUAUGGUGACUGGUGAAUUUGUUAUUAUAAGAUGUUUAUUGUGAUCUCUAAGAUUUUGAACGUAAGAGUUGAGGCUAGGUGAUGUGAAGAAACGGGUAGGAAAGAGUGGGGUUGAAGAAAGAAUCACAAACAGCAAAAUGAUACUAGAUUAGUGGUGCUUUAUAAAUUGCAAUAUUAAUCCUCACAAAGUUACGUAAGAGACUCGUAAUAUUGAAGUAUCUCCUAAAGUCGAUAAUAUGCUCAUUCUCUUUUCGAGUUGGAGACAUGUCUCUUUGCAUAUAUGAAUGUAGUAUAUAUGCCCCACUGUUUUAGCAAGACUUGCUUGGUGAUCCGGAGUUUUGAUAGUCUUGAAUUGAAGUUCAUUUGAUUAGUUCAUUAUGAGUGAUCAUCAAGAGUACCCUAACUGGUGACUAAUUUAACUACCUAACUGAUUUUAGUAAAAUCCAGUAACAUAUAUAUGAUCCAUUAUAUAGUUACCUCUCCAAUAUUGUAUAAAAGAAAGUGUAUAUUCUGGCCACUUACCAAAAAGAAAAGAACUAUCUCGGAUGCUGCUGCUUGUUUUUAAGAUCUACGUACUGUGAGUUAUUAGCUGAGUUGGGAACAAAUUUGCUGCCCACAUCUUACUAGUUGGAACACGAAAGGGAUAUAUCAUGCUGCAUGCUACUUUGUUUUUGAGGUCUACAGUGAGUUGAGUUAGGAUGGAGCACGAAAGGGAUCGAGCAGCAUCUUUCAAACACACAACUUUUGUAAUGAAAAGCUAUUCAACAUAGGAAAAAAGAAACUAUUUAGUCACAUCCGAGGCUACUUUGAUCUAUUCACCAAAUAAACUUAGUUUUGAUCUGAUUAGAUCCGCAUACCCAUUCAAAGAUAAUUUUGCAAACCAUGAAUUGUAACUCAAAUCUCAAAUGACAAUAUCAAAGGGUAUCAAAAAUUGUUACUGAGAUUCUGUUUUGUUGACAACUUACGUAAUUACUCGUAAGUUCUCAGUGCUAACUUCAAUGCCAAGCAACAGAAAGGCUUGUAUAACAAUUAAUCCAGAACCAAGAAAAAUUAACAGACGAAGUUUAGUUACAUGAAUAGAAGAGGAUGGAACAACUUAAUGUAUAUCAAAUUAGUCCAAAAACUAUACUAAACCAAAUCGAAUCAUGAACUAGCUACUAGUAAAUGUCUUGAGGAAUUAGGUAUCUUGUUUGUCCUGUGGCUUGGACCAGAAGGUGGGAUUUUAGGACGCUUUGAUAAAACAUGAGCAUGAUCCUGAGAAGCCACUUCCACCUUGACCUGGUGCUGCAUAUCUAACAGCAGCAGUCUGUUGUUCACAGCUGGAGCACUCGCCUCUAAAGCCUCUUCUGUUCUGUGACCAUUAAGAGCCACCGGGUAAGUUCUAGUUGCUGAUGUUAUGGCUGCCAAAACUGAGACAGAAAUCAAGACUUUGAUGGUGAAGAAGCAACAUGGUUUCUGACCGAAGGUGUGCAUGAUGAAUAGCUAGGAAGAACUGGUUUAGUCUGAGAAUCUGAGAUAGCUAGUGAGGACGAUAGGACACCAUCCAUCGAAGUUAUAUAUGCGCAAAAUUGCAUGCAUAAUGAACAUGUGCUUGUCAGGUUGUAUUGAAAUGGAGCAUCACAUAUUACUUUCUGGUUAGAUAGAUUUUAGCAUAGAUAGCAAUGAUGAUACUUUGGAAAGUUUAAGGAAUAAGAUAAUUUCGUCGGCGGGAUUUUCUGUCCAUGAUGUUCAUGUUCUUGUAAAUAAAGCUUGCUGACAUUGAACUUAGUCCUUUUUGAUCUCCUACCUGCCUAUUUCUCCAAUCAUAUAUCAUACCUUUUCAGUUCCAUGAUAUGGAUUAGAAGACUAUUUGAACGAUGAGCACUCUUCGUUGAUGAUUUUGUCAACUUACAAGAUUUCACUAGUUCAUCUCUUCAAAGAAUAUCCUACCAUAUCAUCAUUUCAACUUGGAAAGUAUACAAUUAGCUCCACUAUUUCACAAAAAGGAGAAUGAAAAUGGGUUUUCUUACGUAUACGAAUUAUUAGAACUCAGCUUUGGAAAUAGCUCAUGAAGGAUCAGUUUUGGAGAAAGUUAUGAAGUGUAGCUAUCUACAUCGGAUUACAAACUUUUGGCAACUUUCUUUCUGGUUCUGGUAGGCCAAAUUACAAAUUGAUUUUUGGAAUGAGCAUGAAAAGCAUUUUUUCAGAAACUUAAUUCAAGAAAGAGGGCUGGUUCAAAACUUCAAAUAGGAAAACAUCACAUAAUUCACAUUCACAUGCUUUUGAGAAGGUGAAGCACUAUCAGCAACAACUACCCAAUUCACCCAAGAGGUGGCGAACAAAUUCUAGUCAAAGGUUAUAAAAUGGAAAUCCAGAACAACUAUAGGACCAAUUCCUAAAAUGGUUCUCAUUCAUCGAAAAAUAAAUCCUAUAAUGGUUCUGUAUAUAUUUCAAGUCAGUAUCGUCUGUUAUCAUCCAAUAAAUAGAAUGAUUCUUCCAGUUUUAUCAAAUGGCCUAUUAGCUCAGCUGGUUAGAGCGUCGUGCUAAUAACGCGAAGGUCACAGGUUCGAGACCUGUAUGGGCCACUUUUUUUAACUUUUUACAUAUUUCAAGGAUUGGUUUUGUACUUCUGUUGCUCUUCCACAUGGCAACACAUGAUUUUGCUUAGAUGAGGACUGAUGUUAAUUUUACCACUCCCUGAUUUGAUUGGGUCGCUCAUAUAAAUUUAGAUCCUUUUGAUACAUACAUUUAUUAAGUGAUCUGCUUGUGAGUUCUAGGAUGGAUUAAAAUAAAUUCAGAUGUUGUUUGGAAGCAUGACGAGGGUAUUGGAGGUUUCGGCGUUGUUUUUCACGAUUUUGCGAUUAUAAAGGUUAGUUUGUUAGAGGUUUUGCUUCUAAUAUUGAUAUUCUUAGUUCCAUUGCGGUAGAGCUAAUGACAGUGAUCACAGCUAUAGAGCUUGUUUGGACUCGUGAUUGGAAGCACAUUUGGUCAGAGGUAGAUUCUUCUUCUGUACUUGACUAUAUCCGCUCUCUUUCACUUGUGCCUUGACAUCUUCGAGUUAGGUGGUUGCCUAUACAUGAUCUCUACAAUGACUUUUAAAGCUUCUCACAUAUUCAUAGAAGGAAAUAGAGUAGCAUAUGCUCUAUCUAAUCAUGAAACAUCUCUGGUAUGGUAAGAUGUGCCUCCUCCAUUUAUCUUGUUCUAUUAUGAGUGAUCUUUUAGGUCUGCCAAAGUUUAGGUUUCGUUAAUUCGUUUAUUCUGCUAUACUGAUUUUUUCUCUUGGUUUUAGAAGAUUUUUAUACUUUAUGGCUGACAUUGGCCUAGUCCUCUAGCUUAUUGUACAUUUUUUAUUUUUCAAUAAAUUUUCGUGAGGGACGAUGUUAAUCUCCCUUCGCUUGCCAAAAAAAAAAAGGCUACAAUAUUUGAUACUGAGAGAUACAAUUUCACAUCUAUCUAUGGUUGUUAUAAUACAUAAUUCAAACAAAAGCUUAAACCCUAGGAUUGGACACACAAUCAUGCCUUAACUUCAACCUCCAUGGUUAGCCUAAUGGCCAACCACUUGCUACUCCUACAUCCUUAGGUUGAUCAAGGUCCGAAGGAGGGAGGUCUCCUACUUGUCCAAGAAGAAAAGUACGACAUAUAAGUAACUGGAACUUCUUCCGAGUGCAUGUUGAACACUUCCGUGAGACCAGACACAGAUAAUCAAAAGACUUGACUUGGAUGUUUAUUCCUUUUCUGAUAUGAAUGUAGCCAGCACGCGAAAAUGUUGCCUUAUCAAAGUGGAGGAAAACAAGAACUUACAUUACGUGGUCAGCCAUAAUAAAAAGCCAGUGAGAAAUCCCUGGCAUUAUAAUGGAAGGGGGUAUCCACGGAGAGAAGUGGAAUCCACACCAGAACCCCGCUCUAAUGCCACUCUCCCAGUCCGCGCAAUCUACAAGGCAGAAAAGAAUUGUUAAGAUCUAGGAACUAAGGACCAUCCCAAGAAUCUGGCAACCAAAAUCUUAGACUAUCUUAACAAUAGAACCCUGUUGGAAUAAUGUCUAUAUGGCACAUGAUUGCAUUGUGCAUCAUCUGUCAAUGAGACGGAAAGUUGAAACUAUUAUUGAACACUUAUAUGGAAAUUCAGAAGCAAUACAAUGGAACAAAAUCAUCAUGUUCAACAAUAGUUACAAUUAAUUAUUGGUUACAACAACAAAUAAUGAAAAGACGAACCUCACAAAGCCCAUAGGGCUCUAGUAACUUCUGCAAUGCAACCAUUUUAUUCAAAUCGCCGGUAAGCUGAAACAAUUAUGAAUAACUGGUAUUAAUGAUAUGUUGUGAAACAAAGAAAUAACAACAGAUGCUAUGUCCCCAGUAUUAUGUAGUCAGCUCAAAUUGCGGAUAAAGCUCAGGCCCUGUUUAGCAGUGGCACUUCUGGAAUAUGAUUGAAAAUGCUUGAGCCUUAACCCACCAAUGAUUAAAAGGAAAAAACGUCUACCAUGCUGAUAAAAUUGAAGUACUGAACAAUCACAAUAUGUUGACUUGAAGGAAGGAAAGAGAUUUAACCUCAAGAGUAAUUGUGUGAUCAGAAACAUCAACGGCUUUAGCACGGAAAAUGCCAGCAAUAUCGAGAACAUCCCUUCUAGCAUUAGCAUUUACAGCAAUCUUUAUUAACAUCAACUCUCGCUCAGCAAAUGGCAAGUGUGUAAUAUCCCGAACCUGGAGAGACAACAGUAUUUUCUAUCAUCCCAAAAAGGCAUGAACAAAACCUAUUUUGAAGAAGCUUAGACAUACUACAGCUACCCAAAAUACAAUUCAUUAGUCAAUUAAUAUUGAACUGAGAUAGGAUGGCGACAGAGAAUAUAAGAACAGGUUGCAAUUCAUUAAGAUAAGGAUAGGAGAAUAAGAUCUGGUGCCAAAGAAUCAUUAAUAUAACAUUCGACUUCUUAAAAAGUAAUUUCAAUAUAACAGUGUACUUGGUUUUAUACCCUCUUAAUAAGUUGCAUGUUUGAAGAUAGUUGAUUCAUAACUACAAAUGAAGUAUGCAAAGUUUUCUAGUAGCCACUAUGUAUCAAUCUUUUUCUUUUGUUCUGGAGAUUAAUAAGUCCUCCCCAAGAGGAUUGCUGUAAAUCCACAAUGAGCUUGCAAAUAUGUAAGUUCAGAAACCUUACCUCAUGAAGAUCUAUUAACUUGCGAAGUUGCUGGACCAACUUGGUAAUUGUGUCAUCAGUACCAGGAACAACAGUUGUAAUGCGAGAAAGCCCUUCCUUCUCAGAAGGUCCCACAGCUAAACUCUACGAGCAUAAAGUGAAACCCAAAAGUCAAGUGAGGAAAGGCCAAAGAAAAGCAAAUAUAGAAAGACAAGCUCAGCCGGAAUAACUAACCUGAAUGUUAUAACCUCUUCGAGAUAUGACUCCUGUUACUAUGUUCAGGACUCCAGGUACAUCACUCACCAGCAUACACAAAGUGUGUGAUUGAACACCACUUGACUGUAUUAAUGAAUUGAAGAAUAUUAAAGUUUAGGUUUUAAUGCACUGAUUUGUAGAGUUUACAAAUGAAUAGGAUAUUUUGCGAACUACAGUCUAGGUAACGAAAUCUAUUUUGAACCUUGCACACCUUAUAAAGUAAGAUUUUUAAUCUUAAGAGCAAAUAGCUAUCCUUUUAGAAAAUAAGAUGAAUUACCACUUAAAGCACUCAAGGUUGUAAGAUAACUUACAUCUUCAUCAUAGAGCACACCCCAAUGAGCAUCAAGUACUUGAUUUGAAGGACAGUCAUCAUAUGGCUCCACUGGAUAAACAUCACCCUUCAAUAAUGAAAUGAGAUUCACUUACAUUCAACCCAAAAUUCAAUAUAUCAAGAAGCUCAGUCACCAAUUAAUAAUUUGAAAACAGAACUUUCCUAAACAGAAGAGAUAUGCUUUAUUGUGCAUGAUGGGAAAUGUCAUCUUGAAUCAUAAGCUAAGUCAUUCAAUUUAAUUGCAUGUGAAUGAGACACUUGCUAUAUCAUGGGAGAAUCCCUUUCAGUCCUAUUAAAUGGCCCCAUAAAACUCAUGAAUUAUGAAUAUGCAUGCAUGGUCCAACGUAACAGAAUAAAGAUCUCCUCAAUAGGUAAGCAAUAUAGGUCUCCUUCCAGAGAGAACAUAUACGGAUAUGUACCUGUGAGGCAAUACUGCUAGAACCAUUGGCUGAAUGAUUUGCUUUCACCGCAACUUCAUCAUCAGACAUUCUUUCAAGAUCAGGAUAAGAAGCUGCAGAAAAUCUCCAAAAAGGAGCCGUCUCACCCAUCUUUUCUCGUCUCAAAGCAAUCUGUCAGUAAAGUCAAAUUGAAACCUUAAUACAAAGUUUCUACAUAAUCUACUGAAAAAUUUAAGACAAAAAAUAUGGUUAUUCAAUUCAGCUACUGAAAUGCAGCACACCACCACCAUAAAAGAUUACAUAUUGUGUUGUUUGGAGGGUUAAGCACAUUAACAGAGACGCGCGCGCGCACAUAAACAAACACAUAUUUCUAGUGAUAACCAUGAGUCCAUGACAAUGAAAAUAUAUAACUUGCCUUUCCAGUUCUUGCAAGUUCUUUGAUUCCAAAUUUGCUAAAGUUUCUUUGAACAGCAACCAUUUUCCCAGGGUCUCCAGUAACCUGAGACAUCCACAGUGGUGUUAGGGUCUACAAGUCUAAAUCCAAACACAUUCAAGUUUUUGUCACUGACAACAAGAAGUGGUAGUGCAAUAUACAACUGGAGUUUGAACAAAGGAUCUGACAACAUUUACCUCAAUUGUUAGUGAGUGUUCAGAGAUGUCCACAAUUUUUGCUCUGAAGAUGUCCACUAACCACAUGAUCUAAAAGGUUGAGAACACAAACAAGAUGAAGGGCAAGGAUUUCGUAAGAUGACAAACGAGUGUCUAAGAGGGGUGCUCAGCUGUCAAACUAGGAAAUGACCACGGUUUCUUCAAAUAAUAAUCCCCAAGAAGAUGAGAACAAAAGAUACACAAACAUGCAGUAACAAUGACAGCUUCAAUACAUGCAACGGUUGGGCAAAAAUUUCAAAUAGAAAUACCUUGUUUAUUUAUCAACAGAAACAAACCAAGGAUAUAGUGGGGGACAGUUACUUGGAAGGAAUCAGAUUAAUUAUCUCACUGACCAUAUGAGACUCUUUAUCCAAACAAAUAUUGAAUGAUUUGAACUUUUACCUCUGCACGGUUGCUUGGAUCUGCAUGAAGUUUGAUAAGCAUCAAUUCACGUUCUACUUGUGGCUCCCUUGAGAUAUCUUCAACCUGACAAAGUAGAAAUAUAAGUGAAGAUGAUGCAGAAGCAAGCAUGCAAAGGAUCUCAGUUGUUGAAAUCAAAUUUAUAUGAAUUAGGCAUUGCUCUAUUGUUCAUGUAGGUGAAUAAGAUCCAACUGCCAAUUUUCAUUUCCAAAAUUCAAAAUAAGUACCAUAAAAUAAGAUUUCUAAGGAAUUCAAGUAUAACCUUUAUCACAUUCACCAACUUGUUGAGCUGUUCAACAACUUGCUGCAAAAUCUUUUCAGUCCCUGAGACAACUAUGGUAAAGAGAGCCCUGUCCUUGUUCAAGCCAACAGCAAGGGACUCAAUAUUGUAACCCCUCCUGGCAAAAACCCCUGCUAUUCGGUUUAUAAUUCCACUCUCAUCACCAACAAACACUGAAAUUGUAUGGCGUUUCACCCUGAAAUGAUAUAAUAAUCCCAUAAUCAGAACUCCCAACUUGAAAAGUAGAUAUACACAUCAGAAUUUGCAGUCAUGACCCUGAAUUCAGAAUCAGCAAGUUGGGAAGCCUAAUCAGCCCAACUGACAGGUCUAAAUACCAAGAAGAAUUGACUGUGAAUGGAAUCAAUCUCCUUAUUCAUUCUCACUAACUACAGUUCGGGUCUAUAACCGAAGACUUACGUAUCCACAUAAAAUUUACAAAUACACACUCAGUAGCCUUUUCUAGUAAUCCUACAACUUUACACUUUUGCUACCCUCCUCACAAAGACGAAAAGAAACUCAGUUCCACACUCAAUAGGCUCAUUCCUUGAACUAAACUUCAAAACUGAACAGUACUAAAAAAAUUGGAUUCUUGUCUCCAUCAAAAGUAAAUCCACCAAACUUUAACAAAAGAAUAACUUAUAUUCUCUAACUACCAAUAUGAAAAAAUUUCCUCAAAUAGCAACAACAGAAUAAAGCUACCAAACACUAGCAUCUUAACCAGGCAACUAAAACAACAAGUAAAACCCACAAAACUGAGCUCAACCCAAAACUCCCACAACAAAUAGGAACCCAAUUUCACCCAGAAACUUCACCAAACUUACCACAACUAAAAUGCUCAAUACACUCGAACCAAAACGGCAAAACCCAUAAAAGAAAGAAAAAAAACAAAUUACAGAGAGAACAAAGCUGGAGUUGAACAAAACUCACUUAGAGCGAAUCAAUGAAGGCGCAGGGUCAGUGACAGACACAGCAUUGUUGGUGCUAGCAGAGACCACCAGGUCCUUAGACGCCAAAGACUUGAACUUUAGUGGCCUCUGAUGACCAAGGUCUAAACUUUUCCGGAACCCACGUCCCAAAUCGACUCGGAAACAUGGGUUCGGGGUGAAUAGUGAAGUUGAGCACGGUGGUGAUGACAGAGAAGCCGCCAUUGUUACUGGGUUUCCAAGAAGAGAGACAGAGAGCUGAAGACGGCGCUUGGUUUAGACUGUAGAGUUUUGGUUAGGAACGCCACGCCUUUCUCGCACGAUGUUUUGGCACGUUUAAUUUGGACACUACCUCAAACGCACCGUUUUAAGCUCAUUGAUGGAGCUGAGGUACUUGCGGAUUUAAACUAACUUUAUAAGAUAUUUAGUAACGUUUGAGAGGCAUUUGAGUUCAUACCCAUGCGGAGGUCGAUUAGUCGGGUGAUUGUGUUACUAACGUUAACGUUAAGGUGGCUUGUUACCUCAUUCAGAUAAAAAAUAAAUUUGUAUUUUAAUAUCUAAAAUUUGUAUAUGCUUUAAAUAUAUACUUUUGAAGUAUAACUUAGAUAUCUCAUAUGUAUACAACAUUAUCAAAUCGGUGAAUUAAUAUCUUUUGAAAAAACAAAAACCGAGUAAUUUUGUCGCUUCUAACAAUCAGUAAGACAUUUAAGUGACAAUUGGUUACAAAACAUUUUCAAUUAAGAGAGAAAUUUUGAACUUUUAAUGAGCAAAGUUUUUUUUUUUAUCAGAUUUUAAUGAUCAGAGUUUGGUUAAUACUUUCUCAUAAUCUCAGUUUGGUUGGAGUAAUAGUUAUAUGGUAUACAUCAUCGUACGAUAUAUUGUAAUAACAUAGAGUUAGUUUAUAAUAAUGUAUUGUACGUUAUUGACACGUACCAGAUUAAGUUCUUGAAUUACAUAUAUGAUUUAAUUGUUCUAUGCCAUGAACGUUAUUUGGGAUUGCCUAUAGUGACUGGAAGAAAUAAAAAGAAAGUCUUCAAGGGUGUGGCUGAUCGGGUGUGGCAGAAAAUUCAAGGUUGGGAAGGUAAACUGCUUUCCAAGGGUGGUAAGGAGGUGUUGAUCAAAGCUGUGGCUCAGUCAAUACCUACUUAUACUAUGAGUGUUUUCCAAUUACCAACAGGGAUUUGUAAGGAAAUUAACAAGCAUGUAGCAAGAUACUGGUGGGGCAAUUCUGGUGGAAAAGGUAUACAUUGGAGGAGGUGGGAUGCACUUUGUGUGCCGAAGGGAGAAGGUGGCUUGGGUUUUAGGGAGUUUCAGGGUUUUAAUCAAGCUUUGGUUGGAAAAAUUGGUUGGAGGCUAAUUCAAGAUGAGGAGUCUUUGGUUGGUCGGAUGUUGAAGGCUAAAUACUACCCUAAUAGUUCUUUUUUGGAGGCUGUUAUUGGGAGGAAUCCUUCCAGUAUUUGGAGGGCUGUGAUGUGGGGUAAACAACUUCUAACUAAAGGUCUUCGGUGGAGGGUAAGCAAUGGGGCCGAUAUUCGAGUUUUUCAAGACCCUUGGGUUCCUGGAAUACCUGAUUUUAGAAUUGCAUGGAAGAAUGGCUGUGAUUGGAAUAUGAGAGUGAAUGAGCUGAUUUCGGUGUCCGGUUUGUGGGAUAUGCAUAGGCUGGAGCAAGUAGCUACAAUGCAGGAAGUGGAGGCUACUUAGUAUCCCUAUUGCACAUUCAAUGACACGACCACCCCGAAUUUCACCCUGAAACCCAGAGUAAGUCGUGCGGGGACCACCGUCCAAGGAAAUUUACUGAAAAGAUUAAGCAAAUCUCCCUUGCAGAUGGACAACCCUAAGUCGAAAAUUUCAUAUACACUCUUAAUUUAACGCUUCUGAAUAUCACAUAAUAUACAAAAAUUCUAAAGUAUUCAGAGCUACUAAACAUAAGCGGAAGCAAGAAAAUACGAGUAGGUUGAACAGGUAACCUACUGGCGAAAACUGGCCGAAAAGCGGGUGACUAUGCCUCGUCUCCUACUAGAUCCAACCCGAACUCUGCAGACUGGGNNNNNNNNNNNNNNNNNNNNNNNNNNNNNNNNNNNNNNNNNNNNNNNNNNNNNNNNNNNNNNNNNNNNNNNNNNNNNNNNNNNNNNNNNNNNNNNNNNNNNNNNNNNNNNNNNNNNNNNNNNNNNNNNNNNNNNNNNNNNNNNNNNNNNNNNNNNNNNNNNNNNNNNNNNNNNNNNNNNNNNNNNNNNNNNNNNNNNNNNNNNNNNNNNNNNNNNNNNNNNNNNNNNNNNNNNNNNNNNNNNNNNNNNNNNNNNNNNNNNNNNNNNNNNNNNNNNNNNNNNNNNNNNNNNNNNNNNNNNNNNNNNNNNNNNNNNNNNNNNNNNNNNNNNNNNNNNNNNNNNNNNNNNNNNNNNNNNNNNNNNNNNNNNNNNNNNNNNNNNNNNNNNNNNNNNNNNNNNNNNNNNNNNNNNNNNNNNNNNNNNNNNNNNNNNNNNNNNNNNNNNNNNNNNNNNNNNNNNNNNNNNNNNNNNNNNNNNNNNNNNNNNNNNNNNNNNNNNNNNNNNNNNNNNNNNNNNNNNNNNNNNNNNNNNNNNNNNNNNNNNNNNNNNNNNNNNNNNNNNNNNNNNNNNNNNNNNNNNNNNNNNNNNNNNNNNNNNNNNNNNNNNNNNNNNNNNNNNNNNNNNNNNNNNNNNNNNNNNNNNNNNNNNNNNNNNNNNNNNNNNNNNNNNNNNNNNNNNNNNNNNNNNNNNNNNNNNNNNNNNNNNNNNNNNNNNNNNNNNNNNNNNNNNNNNNNNNNNNNNNNNNNNNNNNNNNNNNNNNNNNNNNNNNNNNNNNNNNNNNNNNNNNNNNNNNNNNNNNNNNNNNNNNNNNNNNNNNNNNNNNNNNNNNNNNNNNNNNNNNNNNNNNNNNNNNNNNNNNNNNNNNNNNNNNNNNNNNNNNNNNNNNNNNNNNNNNNNNNNNNNNNNNNNNNNNNNNNNNNNNNNNNNNNNNNNNNNNNNNNNNNNNNNNNNNNNNNNNNNNNNNNNNNNNNNNNNNNNNNNNNNNNNNNNNNNNNNNNNNNNNNNNNNNNNNNNNNNNNNNNNNNNNNNNNNNNNNNNNNNNNNNNNNNNNNNNNNNNNNNNGGUGGCACCGCUCCUUCACGGCGGCGCUAGGGCUCCUCUCACCGGUCUAGAAAUGUUGCUGGGAGGGAGACCGACCGAACGGGACCGGUCCGGUGGCGAACGGAGGUCGGACGGCGGCGGGAGGACGGCCGGAAUACCGGUGGGUGUAGAGAGAAGAAAAUCGGGUGAGAAGAGAAGAAAAAUCGGGAGGGAGGGAGAAGAGAAAGAAGAAGAAAUGGGUUGGGCUCGGCCCAGCCGACCCAACACCCCUUUUAAACCCAAACUUCCAAAAUAAAAACACCCCGAAAAAUAAUACCCGAAUAAAAAUUACCUUUUACUAGCUAAAAUUUACCAUUUUUACCGUAGUCGUAUUUUCCUCAUACGAAUAAUCCUCCGCACAUAAUCGUCCCCGAAACCCCUCUAGGGACCAAUUAAACUAUUUACUCAAUGAUCGAGACGGUAAAAUUCUUAUUAUAAUCACGCUAGUAAAUAAGGUAAAAAUAUAAGGGUCGGGAUGUGACAUUCAACGUGUCGGGAUAAAUUGAUUUGGAAUCAAAAUAAGCAAGGGAAGUUUUCAGUUAAGAGUGCUUAUUGGUUGGCGAAGAGUAAUCGCUUCACACCGAUAGCUAUAGUGUAUUGGAAACAUCUUUGGAAACUCAAAGUCCCACCGAAGAUGAAUCAUUUUUUAUGGAGGUGUUCGAUGGGAUUUAUUCCAUGCAUGUGGUCGUUGUAUCAGAGGUAUAUUGUUCAAAGUCUUUUAUGUCCGAGGUGCCAAGCUGCUGAUGAUACGCCCUUGCACGCAACCUGGUCUUGUUCGUUUUGUGUUACGGUGUUGGAGAGGGUGAGUUUCUAUUUCAAGCUGGUUUCGGGUAUGUUGACCGACUUUUUUGAGUUUUUGAAUCAUGCUUUCAACGUUUUAACUGUGGAUGAGAUGAAAUUGCUUGUUAUAAUGCUUUGGAGCAAUUGGAGUGAGAGAAAUAGGGUCAUACAUGGAGAACGGCCUCGACCCCCACUCUAUUAUAUAUGACCAGUGUGUGUUAAUGUGGGAAAGUUUGUUGGCGGUGCAGGAUAGUAUGCAAUCACACUUGAGUAGUGGGGGGUCUAUAAUUGGUAUGGCAUGGCAACCUCCUAGCCCUGGUAUGUUAAGCUUAAAUACUGAUGCUUCUGUUAUUAAUAAUGGAGUUAAUAUUGGUGUGGGAGUUGUUGUGAGGAACCAUUUGGGGGAUCUGGUGCUAGCGGGAGGAGAAAGAGUCCAAGGCCGUUUUCAACCAAGUGUUGCUGAGUUGUUGGCACUCUGUAAGGGACUGGAAUAUGUAGUAGAGCAUAAUUGGUUAUUAGAGAAGGUUGAAUGUGAUUGUUUAGAGGCUGUGAGAGUGGUGAAUGAUGUUGGUGAGUGUUUUGCUGAAGAGAGGAUUUUGGUUGAUCGAGUUAGAGUUCUGUUGGUUGCUGUUGGUAGUCCUAAACUCUCUCAUGUUUCUAGGACUGCGAAUGGUGCGGCUGAUGUAGUGGCUAAGUAUGUAGCCCGAUUAAAUGGGCGGUUAGUUUGGUUAGGGGUUGGGCCCGAUUGACUCAUGGAUGUCAUUGUUAGCGACAGACCCGUAACUGUUUCUGGUAGUAGGGAAAUGAGUGGGGAAACUUCUUCCUCCACCGAUAAUUCCCAUGUUUUGUAACCUCUUUCUUUCUGAAUAAAUUCUGUUAUUUCUCUCAAAAAAAAAUAAUUGUGCUGUUUUUUCUAAUGUUAUCUACUUAUCUUGUUUUUCUUGUGUGUAAUUUGACAAUUGUAGACGCAUAAAAUUUAAUGAGAAUAAUAAUCAUUAGAUUAUUCAUACGACGCAUGGUCCUGACAAAUUGCAUAUGUGACUCGUGAGUAGGGAAAAUUGAAAAGUCUUCAAAAAUGACAUGUGGCGACGUGUAACUGGUCGGUCGACUACAAAAUCAUUAAUCCCGACUAAAAUCAAAUAUUAAAUGUCAAUGGAUAAUCAAAUUUCAAUCAAAUUAAAUUGAUUAUCGGAAAGGAAGUCGAACAUUUAAUCAAAUUGGCAAAAUACCUUAUCGGUCAUAAUCGAAUUAAUCAAUAAAUACCGAUUGAUUUAAUUAUGUUAAUAAUUAUAAUUAGAUCAAUCAAUCAAAACUGAUUGAUUUAAUUAUACCGUUAAGGAAAUAUAAUUAAAAUGGUGUCUUCAAAACAUUCCACAAACGGAGGAACAUCGACACUAUAAAUACCCCCUCUCAUAUCAAGAGUAGGACUUCGGGACAAGAGAGAAAAAUUACUCCCGAGAGCUCAGAAGUCUCGCAAAACCUUUGAAGAAUCAUCAAGCUGUCAAAUAGCCGAUUCUUCAUCAAUCUCAAGCCUAGAAGUUGUCAAAUCCCGAAGAGUCACCAAACUGCCAAAUAGCCGACAUCUUCACCAACUUCAAGAUGAAGAACAAAUCACCACGUGGAAUCGCUCGUGGCCAAAUCUGAUCAACAUCAAGCCUCCACGGCCCUUGGUCAACCUUCGUCUUCAACAAAUCAAAACUUUUAUCAAGUUCUUCAACAAGCUUGUGGAGAAUCAACAAGCACCAAACACACGUGUCGAUUCAUCCGCCAUCAAAGCAGAAGAACGUUCACCACGUGACACCACUUGUGGCCUAAGUCCGAUAAAAACCAAGCCUCUACGGCUCUUGGUCAAUCAACUUCUACAAAUCGUCAACACGACAAGAAGUCCAAACUACAACAAUUCGAUUCAAGAUUAAGUGCUCGUCACCUUUGGAUCAAAUCGACGUUAGAGAUUGAAUCAGAGGAAAUUCUUGUAAAAGAAUACCCACAGAGAUUGUAAUCCGCAAAUUCAUCAAUACAAAUAUUUUAUUUUGUACACGUGUCUUUCUGUUAUUCGUUAUAGGAAUUUUCGUGUUUACAAAAUUAGCACGCCCGGUGGGACCAUCUCUGCCUCUCAUCUACUCCUCCGACAAUCUCGCCAUCUUCAUCACAUGGCUUCAAAGAUGGUGCAAAUCAAAUUGAAAAACAAGAUCAACAAGGUAGCUACUCUGAAAAGCAGUAGAAACCUUAGCGGUCAUGUUGCUCAUAGUGAGUCAUAUCAACUCACAACAUUCGACCUUCAUCCCUCAAAACAGUUUCAGCUGAUCGACGCUUGGACAACAAUGGGGGCAAACACCAUGAAGCAAAGACGUUCAACAUCGUCAGGCAACUCGAGGAAACAUUCUCCUUCGCCCACAACCAAAGUUGAUUCGAAGAUAUGUCCACACUUGGAAUUGCCUCUUGACAAUCAUAUUGAAGCGAUUCUAGAAGACGACUCUUGUGCCAUGCAAAUCAUGGUGAUAGGAGUGAUCAACGUGGAAGAACAAGCGGCCCAAAUAGCUUAGUUGACUGCAGCAGUGAAGAAGCUCCAAAAGACCAUUGAAGAGAAAGAUGUAGAAAUUGCAUCGCUCAUGGAGAAGGUAGAAGUUCACCAUGAUAAUGACUCGGAGAAUAACCUUCAUGGUGAUAGGAAAUACACGUCUGGUGGAUCAUCUUCCGACCAAAAAGGGGAAUCAAAUUCCAUCCUAGCUUCAUUAAUAGUUCAACAGCUUCAAGACAUGAUCGCCAAGACAAUCAAAGCUCAAUAUGGUGGUUCGUCUCGAGAUACACUAACGUAUUCCAAGCCUUACACCAAGCGGCUAGACAAUUUGAGAAUGCCAACUGGUUACCAACCUCUCAAGUUUCAACAAUUUGAUGGCAAAGGUAAUCACAAGCAACACAUCACACAUUUCAUCUUGUGAAGCAAUUUGUUCGCUCACUCUGAGGCACGGCGUUUGAAUGGUUUACAGACUUGGAGCCUGAAUUCAUUGACAGCUGGGAGCAAAUGGAAAAUGAGUUCUUGAACCGCUUCUUCAGCACACGUCGCAUGUUGAGUAUGUUAGAGCUCACCAACACCAAACAACAAAACGGCGAGCCUGCUGUAGAGUUCAUCAAUCGUUGGCGUACACUAAGUCUCGACUGUAAAGACCGACUCUCAGAAUUGUCAGUGGUAGAGAUGUGUGGCAUGCAUUGGGAUUUGUUGUACAUUCUUCAAGGGAUAAAGCCUCGCACCUUUGAAGAACUUGCUACUCAAGCUCAUGACAUGAAACUCAGUUUGGCUAGUCAUGGCCAAAGAAAACGUGACAUCAUGGAACCAGAGAAUCAAGAGUCUUUGGCAAUCAGCACAACUCCUAUAAGGGUCAUGAAACGAGUCAAAUCAAAUAGCCAAAAGAAGUUUCAGUCAACUCAAGAUCAAGCAAGGAGGCAAACUCUAAAAGACUUGGAAGCUAAAAGUUACCCUUUUCCAGAUUCCAAUGUUGCUGAGAUGUUGGAAAACUUGCUUGAAAAAGAACUAAUCAAAUUGCCAGACUGCAAGUGUCCAGAAGAGAUGUAUCGCAUCAAUGAUCCAAAAUACUACAAGUACCACCGUGUCAUCAGUCAACCGGUGGAGAAGUGCUUUGUCUUGAAAGACCUCAUCAUGAAGCUAGCACAACAAGGAAAGAUAUGUUUAGACGUUGAAGAUGACGUGGCUCAGUUAAAUUAUGCUACGAUCUUCUUUGAACACCUCAAAGCGGUGUCCUCAACGCCUUUGCUGGGGGCAUGCAACCUACCUAAAUUCGUCUAGACCACUCAAAUGUCACCACGCUUCUUGUCCGCACGAGCUUAAACUGUGAAUGACCAAAAAAAAAAAAACUCUUUUUCGCACGAGCAUAAACUGCGAAUGACAAAAAAAAAUGCUCAUUGCCCGCACGAGCAUAAACUGUGCAUGACACCCAAGAAAAAAUUCGCUCCUUGCCCGCACGAGCAUAAACUGCAUAUGGCACCCAAAAAAAAAAAAAAAAAUCCUUGAGCUACAUCAUGACUUGAUCUCUUUCUCAUAAAAGUACGUAGGCAGCUUGGAAGAUGCUUUUGAGUCCAGUCAUAACAAAACAAGAAAAUGAGUUUGCUCGGGUUGUUGAGAGUACUGCCAUAUCAAGACAAGGAAAUGAAUUUUGUCGAGGUGUUUCCCAUGUCAAAGAAGAGACAUACAAAACUUAAAAGAGGAUGACUCUGCGCAAUUUCCGGAUCUCUACUCUUCUUUUCACAGUCGAAAAAUACGCAGAGCCUAAGCACUUUAAGUGAUUCCUCCCACUUUCAAAAAGUGAAAGAAAUCAAGCAUUUAGGUUGUUCGCGUUCUUCCUUCUGUUGUAUGUCUGUGUGUACGCAAAGCCUAAACACUUUAAGUGAUUCCGUCUACUUUCAAAAAGUGGAAUGAAUCAAGCAUUUAGGUUGUCUACGUUCUUCAAUCACCUAACGAGUCAUCCACCAAAGAUGUGACCUGAACUAUCGGAAGGAUAUGUGGCUCGGUGAGCCUCGACAAGGCUCACGGAGGGGAAUCUUUGAUCGUUGACAAUGAAACAUGUGGCUCGGUGAACGUCGCCAAGGCUCACAGAGAAGAACCAACAAAGACGGUCGGUUGUGAGUCAUCUAGUUGAAGAAACGUCAAUGAAGCUCACAGAGGUGAAAUCAUGACGAGCCAACUUAGAUGAGAGGUGGUGUCAUCACUUUCAAUGUCCUUGAUAUCUUCAAAGAUGAUGUAUGUGUCCUUCUUGAAACUCUUGAAAAAUGUCUUGUGGAGCGGUAAAGUCUACGCAAAGCCUAAACACUUUGAGUGAUUAAUCCCACGUCUAAGAGGUGGAAAAAAUCAAGCAGUUAGGUGUUUGCGCUCUUCAAUUGCCGUCAAGGUACACAAAGCCUAAACACUUUGAGCGAUUAAUCCCAUGUCUAAGAGGUGGAAGAAAUCAAGCAGUUAGGUGUGUGCGCUCUUCAAUUGCCGUCAAGGUACGCAAAGCCUAAACACUUUGAGCGAUUAAUCCCACAUCUAAGAGGUGGAAAAAAUCAAACAGUUAGGUGUUCGCGUUCUUCAAUUGCCGUUAAGGUAUGCAAAGCCUAAACACUUUGAGUGAUUAAUCUAACGUCUAAGAGAUGAAAAAAAUCAAGCGGUUAGGUGUUCGCGUUCUUCAAUUGCUGUCAAGGUACACAAAGCCUAAACAUUUUGAGCGAUUAAUCCCACGUUUAAGAGAUGGAAGAAAACAAGCGAUUAGGUGUUCGCGUUCUUCAAUUGCCGCUAAGGUACCCAAAGCCUAAACACUUUGAACGACUUAUCCCACAUCAAAGAAGUGGAACAAACAAGCGGUUAGGUGUUCGCGUUCUUCAAUUGUCACCGAAUUAUCACCAAAGUUUGAGAAAAAAAAAAAGGGUUGCUGCGUAAAUAAAAAUGAAGAAGAAGAGGUGCUGCCAUGAGAAUUAAGAAGAGUAUUCAAGGUGAUUAGAGUAGGGCUGGGCAUGGGACGGGAUAGAGGUAAUCCCACGGCCCGUCCCGGACAUUGAAAACGGGACGGGAUUUGUCAUUUUUAGAUUUCAUCCCACCCGGGCCCUAUCCCGGUUGGGACGGGACGGGAUAGGACGAGACGGGCCCAGUCCCAGAUAAAAAAAAAGUUGAAAAUAAACUUGUAAGUAAAAGAAAGAGUUUCAUAGUUUAUAGUUUCAUAGUUUAUAGUGUUAUUUACUCUAUUAAGUAUUAACAAAUACUUGUAACAUAUUUACAAGUACAAAAUGGUGAAAUAAGAGAGUUUAUACUGUUUACUUUCUCUAAACAUGUCAUCACCACUACGGUGCAAGAAAAGAGUCUACAACAAUCAACAAAUUAAAGUAUUAAACAUCAUUGUUAGUGAAUUGGAGACAGUCAAUUAACUUAAAGAAACAAAGAGCUAAGAUGAAAACACUUAAAUGAAAGGCUCAAAUCACAUUUUAAUCAAUAAAUAAUCAAUUAUUAAAAUAGCGGGACGAGACGGGACGGGGCUAAACGGGACUUGAAUUAUCCGUCCCGUGUCCCGUCCCGUUGUAUAGAGACGGGACGGGACGAGACGGGCCUGACGUUUUGAGAUUUAAAUCUCGUCCCGUCCAGGUAAAUUUCGGGACGGGCCCGGGACGGGUUCGGGAUUACGAGAUUUUAUGCCCACCCCUAGAUUAGAGAUCACCCACGUGCAUGCAUGAGUGCCAUUAGCUUUGGCAAAUGGUCAAUUUUGACCUUCAAAAAGGGUCAGAGGAUUAGUUCCAAAAUAAUUUAAGUGAAAAUGCCCAUUUGGUACUAAUUGUAACCCUUCAUUGCCUAUUCCAAUGACAAUCUUUUAUGUAAGCCCAUUUGAACGAAAGUAAACUUUUUUUGUGCCCAAAUAGCCAAAUCUUUAUUAAAGUCUUAACAAACUAUAUUAUUUUAAGACUAUUUUGCCCCCUCUUCAACAUGAAAAGACUUGGCCGGAACCUCGGACUCCGGUCACCAGAAUUUCCCCGACCGCCGGACUCUGUCACCGGAAUUUCCCAUGUAACCAGUUACUGACCAGUUAAUGACCCUUAAUAACCAGUUACUCACCCCCAGUAACCAGUUACUGACCUUUAAUAAUCAGUUACUGACCCCAAUAAUCAACUUAUUUCAGAUUAAUGUAAUAGAAAAAAAGAUUUACCAAAAAAUAAUCGAAUUGCUGACCUUAAUAAUUGAGUUACUGACCCCAAUAACUUUUAGUUUUCAGUUACUGACACCCAAUAAUCACUUAGUUUUCAGUUAUUGACACCCCUCAAUAAUCAGAUUACAAACCUCAAAUAAUAACUUAUUGGCCCUAAUAAUCACUUAUCAAUUCUCAAGAAUCACUUACUGACCCCCAAUAUUCAAAUGUAAGGAUAACAAAUAAAAAUAAAAAACUAACAAAGUAGAUACAGAGCGGAUCAGAGAAUCACAUUGAUGAUAAUCAGCUACACAAAACUGUAAUGGAAAAACGAGUACACAACAACAAACGAUCUCUAUUGUCACCGGAAAAAUUCUCAGGCACCCCGCAUCAAAUUAAAAAAAAAAACAAAUGCAACUAAGAAAGAGACUCACCAAAUAGGCAAUAACUGAAACUGAGCAUCAUCAUCAUCAUCCUACACAAUGCACAUGCCAAACCUGAUGAAGCUCCUUCCUUGACUUGAUCACCUCCUUCCUCCGUAUCAUUGCUCUGCAACUGAUUCGGUCGCACCCCAUUGGUUCCCUCAGUCGCCAUAGAAGUAGCCAGACUGGCCAGAACCUGCACUGCAGCCGGAUUCGUCGUCUCCGAUUUCGUCUUUUGCUGCUCCACUCUACCGAAAUUCAUCACACCUUUCUCCUCCUUCUCUUUACUCACCAGAAACUCCAGCACCUCCAGCGCCUUCCUGGCCCGCUUCUUCGCCGACAUCGCCUCCUUGACGCGGCGCCUCCCUGGUCUGCUUCUUUGUCGACACCGCCUCCUUCACGCGGCGCUCGGCAUCACUCCCGACGACGGCGGCGGCCUUCUUCAUCGAAUUCGUCACGAUUUUCGCGGCUGUCACGAACGCCUUGGCGGACUCCCUCCCGAGGAGCUUCGAGGUCGAAGUUGAAGAAGGGGAAGGUGGAGGACUGGGAGCAGGGAAGGCACUCGAAGGAGGCGCAGUUGGCGCAGGCGUUGUGGGCGAUGGAGGGGCACCUGACUCACAUAACACGGUCGCACGGCGGCGGCGGGUGGUCGAAGUCGAAGACGUCGAGAGAGAGAGAGAGAGAGAGAGAGAGAGAGAGAGAGAGAGAGAGAGAGAGAGAGAGNNNNNNNNNNNNNNNNNNNNNNNNNNNNNNNNNNNNNNNNNNNNNNNNNNNNNNNNNNNNNNNNNNNNNNNNNNNNNNNNNNNNNNNNNNNNNNNNNNNNNNNNNNNNNNNNNNNNNNNNNNNNNNNNNNNNNNNNNNNNNNNNNNNNNNNNNNNNNNNNNNNNNNNNNNNNNNNNNNNNNNNNNNNNNNNNNNNNNNNNNNNNNNNNNNNNNNNNNNNNNNNNNNNNNNNNNNNNNNNNNNNNNNNNNNNNNNNNNNNNNNNNNNNNNNNNNNNNNNNNNNNNNNNNNNNNNNNNNNNNNNNNNNNNNNNNNNNNNNNNNNNNNNNNNNNNNNNAUGUCGAAAGGUCUCUUCAGAGUGACUUAGGAGGCAAUUUAGUUUUGCUGGGCAACCUAGAAAUCCAUGGGAGCAUCAGAAUAUCAAACGAAAGAAUUGAAGAAAAAAAUAGGUACGUAGACCUUAGGUUCUGCUGUUGUCCUAUCAAGGCCAAGGGUCUUCUCCGCCUGCAACUUGAGGGCAAUUCAAUUGUGUUCUAUGAUCUGCAAUAAAAAAAACUAAUACUAGAAGGAUCGGUGAUUCAGAGUUUUAGACAAAGCCAGCACAGUCAAAUCAAGAGGAAACAAAAGCAGAAAACAUCACAGUAACGGUGACGAGAACCUUGAGGCAGUCGAUAUGGGGAUGCAUGUGUUCAAACUCGGAACCCUAAUUUAUAUUGAAGCCCUAGGUGUUGCUACAUGAGUAAUUACCUAGUUGAGACUAGAAAAUUAUGCAGGGAAUCAAAGAUUUCCCGCCAUAUAGCCUUAAAUUAUUUGUGUCCGAAAUCAUUGAUUGUGGGAAAUCUUGUAAACAAUCAAUCAAAUAGAGAAAGUAAUAUAUCCAAGAUUUAUUUCCAUUUACAUUCGGUGUUCAGAAAUCUCUACCGAAUUAAAUAAAAUAUGUAGGGAUCCUUGCAAAUUUAAGGAAUCUCUAUACAAGUUUGGAUGUCCUGUAAAUUUUAAGGAAUGCCCACAUAUAUAGGGAAUCAUUGCAAAUUUAUGAGUCCCUACAAAUUCGGGAUUUCUACAAAUUUAAAUGAAUUCCCACAUACAUUGAAGCCCGAGAAGUUGGCCCAUAAUCGUCCACGUCAAAAGUAUGGACUUCAAGCCACACCUCCGACACGUGAUGGCAACACGACUACGGUCCACCUUGAAGUGGGGACAUUUGUAGACGUAUAAAAUUUAAUGAGAAUAAUAAUCAUUAGAUUAUUCAUACGACGCAUGGUCCCGACAAAUUGCAUAUGUGGCUCGUGAGUCGGGAAAGUUGGAAAAGUCUUCAGAAAUGACAUGUGGCGACGUGUGAAUGGUCGGUCAACUACAAAAAUCAUCAAUCCCGACUAAAAUCAAAUAUUAAAUGUCAAUUGAUAAUCAAAUUUCAAUCAAAUUAAAUUGAUUAUCGGAAAGGAAGUCAAACAUUUAAUCAAAUUGGCAAAAUACCUUAUUAAUCAUAAUCGAAUCAAUCAAUAAAUACCGAUUGAUUUAAUUAUGUUAAUUAUUAUAAUUAGAUCAAUCAAUCAAGACUGAUUGAUUUAAUUAUACCGUUAAGGAAAUACAAUUAAAACGGUGUCUUCAUAACAUUCCAUAAACGGAGAAACGUCGACACUAUAAAUACCCCCUCUCAUAUCAAGAGGAGGACUUCGGGACAAGAGAGAAAAAUUACUCCCGAGAGCUCAGAAGUCUCGCAAAAUGCUUGAAGAAUCAUCAAGCUGUCAAAUAGCUGAUUCUUCAUCAACCUCAAGCCUAGAAGUUGUUAAAUCUCGAAGAGUCACCAAGCUGCCAAAUAGCCGACAUCUUCACCAACUUCAAGACGAAGAACAAAUCACCACGUGGAAGCGCUCGUGGCCAAAUCUGAUCAACAUCAAGCCUCCACGGCCCUUAAUCAACCCUCAUCUUCAAGUCUUCAACAAAUCAAAACUUCUAUAAAGUUCUUUAACAAGCUCCUGGAGAAUGAACAAGCACCAAACACACGUGUCGAUUAAUCCGCCAUCAAAGCCGAAGAACAUUCACCACAUGACACUGCUCAUGGCCUAAGUCCGAUCAAGAACAAGCCUCUACGGCCCUUGGUCAAUCAACUUCUACAAAUCGUCAACACGACAAGAAGUCCAAACUACAACACUUCGAUUCAAGAUUAAGUGCUCGUCACCCUUGGAUCAAAUCGACGUUGGAGAUUAAAUCAGAGGAAAUUCUUGUAAAAGAAUACCCACAGAGAUUGUAACCCGUAAAUUCAUCAAUACAAAUAUUUUAUUUUGUACACGUGUCUUUCUGUUAUUCGUUACAUGAAUUUUUGUGUUUACAACAAUGACAAAUGUAUGUGUUGUUUCCAUUGACAAGAUUCUAUUUUUUGUAUUUAUUGAUCACUAGUAAAUAAGUUUAAAAUGUCACUAAUUUUGAAAAUGCCCCACUGUCAUGGACUAACGAAAGAUCCCAGUAAUGCUAGUGUAACUUCUACAGAAGUGUCCUUUCUAGCAAUCUCUCAUCUCUUGAGAAGUAGUCGAUUUACGUUGUAUGCUUCAAAGAGGGAGAUGCUAUGGAGGUGUAUGGUUGUACCUUUCCUACUUGUUUAUCUGUUUGGAUAUAUUCAACAUCAAAGUAUGAUAGCCGACGUUCUUUUCUAGGCGCAAAAUGUUAAAAUGGAGUCUGAUCUUGUAACAGAACCAGAUCCUCAUAUGAUAUGUUUUCAAUAUCACAAUCUAUAUUAUAGAUUGAGGAGUUUCCAUCUUAGAAAAUCAAUUAGGCAUGAUUCACAACUUCCCUAUAGAGUAUAGGAUAAUCCAUUUGAGCAAGAGAGCUAGACUUAACGUAUGAACUAGAGGAGACCGACGACGACAAGUAGAGGCCUCGCUGGAGUAUAAAAGGCGGAAUCGGCGGCGGAUUUGAGUGCGCUCUUACAGAGAGAAAGCCAUACGGGACAGUGCCGCGCUCUGAUUUCAAGUACGAGGCUUCUUCUUGCACAAGACUAAUGUGUUUAGCUAUAAAAACAUAUAAUCAUACCAUCAAUUUUAACAAACAAUUAGCUAGUAUACCCGUCAUUAUUUGAUCUAGUAUAUUUCAACCCACGUUUUCCCUCAAUUACGAAUGCACAACUCACUGAUACAGUGAUACAGAGCUAAUGCAACUACAGAAAGCUCCAUCACACCAAGAACACCUUGAUUUUCAAGAGGCUAUUUUUCUUUGAAAGCAUCUCAAGCAAGACCCAUAAAUAAAACGUGGAGUCUUCAAAAACAUAUUCAAGUUGAUGAUGCCCUAACCACUUUCAUCGUGCAUGUUUAUAAAAUACACAUUGCUUUCAUGCAUGAAAAAUUAGGUAAUACAAAUCUUAGGUCAAAAGAAAACACCCGCAAAUAUGGUCAAACUCUGUGACUCAUAGUCUAAAUAUAGAAACAUAUUUUUUCUUAAUAAACACGGGAACGUAUCAGAUCUAGUAGAAAUAAUCAAAAUUCAAAACCCUAGACCAAUAUAUUCCAGCGGGGAUGAAAACGACAAUUCACUUCUGGUCAUUCAACCCUAACCACGCAAAAACCCCGAUUUUUCAAUUCCCAUUUUCCAACCACGUGCCUGCCACGUCGGUUUUCUGAGUGUCAUCGGUGACGUCAUCUCCCAUUUUUUCACCUUAUCCGGAUUUUCCUUUUGGUAUUAUUGUAGCAUCGACCAUGUGGCAACUUGGGCAACAUGCCUAGCUAGGGUUGCUUCCAUGAUGCUAAAGUUGCACAAUAAUGCUUUGGGACCAAGUUUUCUAUUCAUUUGAUGUGGAUAAUGACAUGAUGGUUGUAUCAUUUCUACCUUCCAAUACUUCUAGCAAUCUUAUAUAUAAAUGACCAUAUCUUGUGUCUCAUAUAACAACAAUUCUAUAAAGAUCUUUCAAAAAAAAUAUUAGAAUAAGAACGAUAGUAUUACAGAGUUUUUCAUUUUAAUCAAAUAAACAACUCGGAUGCAAUAAUUAGUUAUUUCUGAAUCGACCUUAUCGUCUCUUAUUUUAAUAGAAGAUUUUAUGUCUCUAGAAAAUAAACAAAGGGAUUUUGAAUUAGAAUCUUCUGAAAAUAAUCAAAAUAUUGCUAGUCAAGGGAGUGAGAAAACGACUCCGGAAACGUCUAGAAUUUCACCCCCGGUAACAAGCUCUACUGUUCCAAGUCCCCCAGACACGUAGCAGGCACGGUGCCGGAAACAACUCUUGUCACCACGUCUCGUGACGUCAAUGGCGGACGGCGGAUAUCUAACCGCGACCUGCAAAACAUGAGAUCACUUUCACCAUCGUGUGUGUGGAUUAGAACAUCCCAAAAAAACGACGUGUCGGCCCCACCCGGAGUUAAGCUAACAACGAGCGCUGCAAAAUGCUGACGUGUCCCCACCCCUGUUCACACGGCGUGUCGUCGGCCACCCCGGAGCCUUCUGGAUUCCCGCCACGUCAUCAUGUGCCCUUGCUAAGGGAGGGCAGUAAUAAAUACCAGGGGUAGCGCGUGGACCCGACGCGCCAGCAGAUACCCAGUUGGCAUUACUGAGUAGCCUACUGGCCAAACCUUAUCUUCUUCAAUUCUUUAACUUUUUAUAUUUUGUUUUAUUUGCAGGAAAAAAAAAUAUACAUAUUUUUGUUUUAGAAAUUAAUGAAAUUUUUUGGUUCUUCCAAAAGAGAGAAGCAUUUGGUAUAUUGGAGAGGGUGAGAGAGAAGAAAAAGAAAAGAGGAGGAAGAAGAAGCGACUCUUGAGCAAAGCAUCACCAAACCCUAGAUUCAAUUUCCUUCUCAAAUUACCAGACUUUCAUUCUUUUUUCUGAAAUUUCAGAUCCAAAUUGAUCUGGGUUCGAUUCAAAAUUCGUUCUUGCAAGCCCUAAAAAAGGUAAUUUCUGAUUCCCAUUCCUUGUUAAUCAUUGCCUUUUGAUUAAUUUCAAUGCAAAGUUUUCAUCUUUGCUGCAGAUUCUAUAUUGUAUUGAAGUUUUGAUUAGUAAAUGGUGACUUGCUAUGUGAUCGAAUCGAAUUUAGAUUAGUUUUGGUAUGAAAUUUUUGAUUCUUGGUUAUUGUAGUGAUGCCUGGUUAAUUCGUUUUUAUUACAGAUCGCACUGAAUUCUAGUGUUUUGAAGAGUCAAGGAAUCUUGGGUUUGGUUUACAUUUCUGAGAUCUUUGUUUUAGAGAUUCUUAGAGUUGAGGGGAAACCCUGAUUAGAAGUUAUUCAAGAUGAUGUCCAAAUCGUAUACCAACCUUUUGGAUCUUGCUUCCGGCAACUUUCCGAUAAUGGGUCGGGAAAGGAAGCGGCUGCCGAGAGUUAUGACCGUUGCCGGGGUUAUAUCGGAGCUUGAUGAUGAUAACGCCAAUAGUGUGUCGUCAGAUGUUCCGUCGUCGAUUGUGCAGGAUCGGAUUAUUAUUGUGGCUAAUCAGCUGCCAGUGAAAGCUAAGCGUAGACCGGAUAACAAAGGGUGGAGUUUUAGUUGGGAUGAGGACUCGUUGUUGUUGCAGUUGAAGGAUGGUUUGCCUGAAGAUAUGGAGGUUUUGUAUGUAGGGUCUUUGAAUGUAGAGGUGGAUUCGAAUGAACAAGAUGAUGUGUCGCAGCUACUGUUGGAUAGGUUCAAAUGUGUUCCGGCCUUCUUGCCGGCUGACAUUUUGGCCAAGUUUUAUCACGGGUUCUGUAAGCAGCAUUUGUGGCCUUUGUUUCAUUACAUGCUUCCGUUUUCUGCAAAUCACGGUGGAAGGUUCGACCGAACUUUGUGGGAGGCAUAUGUGGCGGCAAACAAGAUCUUUUCACAAAGGGUGAUUGAAGUCAUAAAUCCUGAGGAUGAUUAUGUAUGGAUUCACGAUUACCAUUUAAUGGUGCUGCCAACCUUCUUGAGGAGGAGGUUCAAUAGAUUGAGAAUGGGGUUUUUUCUUCACAGCCCCUUCCCGUCAUCCGAAAUUUACAGGACUCUACCUGUCAGGGAAGAGAUUCUGAAGGCGCUUUUAAAUUCAGACCUUAUUGGUUUCCACACUUUUGAUUAUGCUCGGCAUUUCUUGUCUUGUUGCAGCCGAAUGUUAGGUUUGGAGUAUCAGUCAAAAAGAGGUUAUAUUGGGUUGGAUUAUUAUGGAAGGACAGUCGGGAUAAAGAUCAUGCCUGUUGGGAUUCACAUGGGGCAGAUUCAGUCAGUGUUAAAACUUGCAGACAAGGAGUGGAGAGUGGGAGAACUAAAACAAAAGUUUGAAAAAAAGACUGUGUUGCUUGGAGUUGAUGAUAUGGACAUCUUUAAAGGUGUCAAUUUGAAGCUCUUGGCUAUGGAACAGAUGCUGAAGCAGCACCCUAAGUGGCAGGGUAAAGCAGUUUUGGUACAGAUAGCAAAUCCAGCUAGGGGAAGAGGCAAAGAUCUUGAGGAAACACAGGCUGAAAUCUAUGCAAGCGUCGAGAGAAUAAAUGAGAAAUAUGGUCAGAAUGGAUAUGAACCUAUUGUCUUCAUUGAUAAACCAGUCUCUCUUAGUGAAAGAGUUGCGUAUUACACUGUAGCAGAGUGUGUGGUGGUCACUGCUGUGAGGGAUGGGAUGAAUCUUAUUCCCUAUGAGUACAUUGUAUGCAGGCAAGGGAACUCUACAUCAGAAUCUGAAUCAGAAUCAGAAUCCAGUGGGCCCAAGAAGAGCAUGCUGGUUGUAUCAGAAUUUAUUGGUUGUUCACCUUCACUUAGUGGUGCAAUUCGGGUUAACCCAUGGAAUGUUGAAUCAACAGCCGAGGCCAUGAAUGAGGCAAUUUCUAUGGUUGAGCCUGAGAAACAGUUGCGCCAUGAGAAGCAUUAUAGGUAUGUCAGUACACAUGAUGUUGCCUACUGGUCACGAAGUGUUUUCCAGGACAUGGAGAGGACGUGCAAAGACCAUUUUAGAAGACGUUGCUGGGGAAUUGGUCUGGGUUUCGGCUUCAGGGUUAUAGCACUGGAUCCUAACUUCAGAAAACUGUCUAUUGAUGCCAUUGUGAAUGCUUAUGUGAAAUCUAAGAGCAGGGCUAUAUUGUUAGAUUAUGAUGGCACUGUGAUGCCUCAAACAUCUAUAAAUAAGACCCCAAGUCAAGAGGUUAUCUCUCUAAUCAAUACACUCUCUGGUGAUGCUAAAAACACUGUUUUUGUGGUCAGUGGAAGAGGAAGGGAUAGUUUGAGCAAGUGGUUCUCUCCUUGCAAGAAACUUGGAAUCGCUGCUGAACAUGGUUAUUUUGUAAGGUAUACAUAUCUGUUUUUAUUUAUUAUACAGUUAUCCUUGGUUUUCUUUUGCUUUGUACUCAUAUAAAUUGUGUUCUGUUAGAUGGUCUGCCGACAAGGAUUGGGAAGUUUGUGGACAGAGUAGUGAUUUUGGGUGGAUACAGAUAGCUGAACCAGUCAUGAAAUUGUAUACAGAAGCCACCGAUGGGUCUUCUAUUGAAACCAAGGAGAGUGCCUUGGUGUGGCACCAUCGAGAUGCCGACCCUGGUUUUGGAUCCAGCCAGGCUAAAGAAUUGUUGGACCAUUUGGAAAGUGUUUUGGCAAACGAACCAGUAGCUGCCAAGAGUGGUCAAUAUAUCGUAGAAGUAAAGCCACAGGUGAUUUUUCUACCCUCCUUCCAAAUUAUUCAACUCUAUGUCAAUGCAACCUUUCACCUACUUGUUUGAAUCUAAUAUAUACUAGGACAAUCUCCACAGUUACUGUCUAUUCCCAUUUUUACCACUUCAAAUUCUCCCAAGUUUAUUGUUGGAACUGAUGGAGGACAACACAAUACCAUUUCCCUCUUUUAUAUUUAGAAAUCUUAUUCUGUGAGUGUGAUUCAGUUGAUAAAUUUUCUAUGCAAUUCAUCAAUUAAUUAAUAGUAGUAGUGCUUUAGACUUGUAGGUCUUUCUGAAUAAGCCACCUCAUUAGUUAGCAUGUGUAUGAUAACACUAAUAGAGAUUUGUAAAAUCUCAGAAUAUGUGCAUAAUACUGCUAAAGGUGGGAGGACACUCACUUCCUUUGAUAUGGAAAUUAGUGAGUAUGGCUUCAGAUAACAUAAUCAAGUGACCCCAAUACUGAAGUGUGUUUUUCCUUUUUUUGGGUGGUAUGAGGGUUCCUCGUAGCCUCGCACCAAUAAUAUGAGAACGUAUAUCAAAUUUUUUGUUUGCUGAUGAGAAAAUAUUCAAGUAUUGCAGUAGAUAUUGUUGACCUAAUAUGGGCAGUUGCAAUCAAUUUGAUUGUGUGAAAAUAAUCAUGAUGGUUGAAUCUUUACUUGUUCUGGUUCUCAGGGUGUCAGUAAAGGCCUGGUUGCUGAAAAGGUAUUCACAUCGAUGCACGAGAAUGGGAAGCAGGCAGAUUUUGUUUUGUGCAUUGGUGAUGAUAGAUCUGACGAGGACAUGUUUGAGAUUAUCGGCAAUGCACUCAAUAAUGGUGUCAUCUCCUCUACUACAAGUGUUUUUGCAUGCACUGUUGGACAGAAACCCAGUAAAGCCAAGUACUAUUUGGAUGACCCUUCUGAUGUCAUAAUGAUGCUUGACGCUCUUGCAGACGCUACAGAUUCUCCACCUUCCUCUGAUGGCGAAACAGGAAGCCCUUGAGACCUUCCUCCAUGACCUUGUUAGACUCAGUGUCUUCUUCACAAAGGCAAUGAUGGUUAACUGCAUGCUGGGCUUUGAUUGAUGAAAGUGAUGAUCCUUUCCUGCUUUCUGGGAGCGACAUAUUGGAGAAAGCAUCCUCUAAGACCUUCUGAACCAAUAUAUGCAGCCAAUUCCCAACCAUCAUUGGAUUUGAUAACUUCUGUGCAUAGACAAUCAAUGCUGAGUGUGGAUUAUAGUAUAGUCGGUUUACUUGGUAAAAUAGAACAGAACUUCUAGGUCAGCGCAUACUUGUGAAAGAUUUGAUGGGGGACUUGGACUUUGAAAGGAAAUGCCCAAACCAGUGGUUGGAUCUUAUUCAUGUGAAGGUUGACAUGUCUGAGGGAGGUCGAUUAUGCUAAAGGUGGGAAGUAGAAAGGGGUCUGGGCUGGUCAGUCAGAAUGCCCAUUGAAACAAUAUACUGGUUUUUCUUUUUGGAGUGAAUUUGCUUUGCCAUUUGUUUCCGGGAUCAAUUCCUUUGCUUAUUGAAUCUGUACAUUAUAUAGCGAUAUUUGCAAGAAAUGAUCACGCUUUCGAAGAUGUCCCAAAUGAUGCAUAUUUCAGGUUUCUGAUACUGCAAGUUAGCACAGUUUUGUUUUUUUUUUUUUUUUUUCUUUUUGGUUGGCUUCCAAGAGGAACUGGUGCCCCUAUACGUUCCAGGGUUGGAGAAAGGAGCUGGACAAAUAUAAACAGACAAACAAGGACUGCAAUUUGCUUUGAGAAUCACAUUUCAAGUGCAGAACCAAACAGAAUCAGACUCCAAGUACCAACAUUAUCUCUGAUGGGUCACCCUAAUUAUUAUUUUCCCAGAGAAAUAAUUCCAAGGUUUGCUUAUUUACUGUAAUGUUGAAUGGAGUGAGCAAGGGAAAUAUCCAAAUCUACUCUCUUUGGAUUAAGCCAAUUGACAAAGUAGGGGUAAGAAAUUGAGUUAGAACUGAGCUAGGUAAAAAUUCUGAGCCUCUCAACUGUAAGCAAACAGAAACUACUCAAGCUCACUUGGAAUUUGAGGAUUGAACAGAAAGAAUAAUGCAUUGUGAAACCAAAAAAAGAGUAAGCACUGGCUUCCAAAUGCCACCCAUGCAAACAGUAUGGUUCCUGUGACUCUGUGAGUAUAUAAAGGAGCCAAAAUGUUUAUGCAGGUAAAGGAAAUUGUAGUUGCUACAUGUAUUAGCACUAGAUUCCUACACAAAGACACAGAAGCAAAAGCCUGCAGUGAGUUAGAAGCUGUGGUGUCGUUUACAAGGCACAGAAGCCCGUGAAUUAUGCUCAGACUUGUCACUUCCCAAUCACCUACCUCUUCUUCAGCCCUACCUAGCUAUACAUGUACACACCCAAACUCGAUACAAAAUCGGAGUCCUUGCCAAACUCACAAAGAACUAAUAAAAGUAUCCCAGUUGAAAUCAUAUCCAAAGCAAUAAAAUGUUCAGAAAUAUAAAUUCCUAAGUAAUAAAUUGGAUUAGCUCAUUAUCUGAAUUCGAUUCUAUAGUUUAAAUACUCCAGAGUAGUAUACAAGUUUUCACUAAUUACACUUGUUUCAAUGACCAUGGAACCCUAAACAUAGUAGAAUUUCCUGGAUCGUGCAAUAUUAUUACAGAGGCAUGUUGCAUUACAACAACUGCAGAAGGACAUUUCACAUAGAAUUUUUACCUUAACUACUUAAACAGAAACCCCCAAAACCUGAUCAUAUCCUCUCUGACCAAAUUUCACAAAUGGACCCCAAAUGCCAUCGUUGCAGAAAAUAUGCUUAUGCUGAAUUGCUUAGCUCACCUCAGGUAGGGUGACAUGACAAGCUCCAGUGAAAAGUGAAACACAAGUUAAGAGAGCUAGCCUACACUUACCUCUAUGGACCCGCAUCCAAAUCCAACGGCUCUCAUUCAUCAUCACUGACAUAAACUACUACUGCCUAGAACCACCGGAGCUAGCUGUAUAUUCGCCGGAGACUACUACUCACCGGAGACAAGUAAACCAAGCUCUGGAACAACAUCUUCCCGAUUGUGAACCCCGGCACGACGGUGAAGCUGACUGAAAACUCGGUAUCGGAAUCGUUGACGGUGACGGACUCCAUGAACACCUCUGAGAAUCUGCGGUUCUUGUUGACCUGAAAGAUCGAGACUUGCUGACCGAACGAGAAGGCCAAGCAGUGGAGAAGCCAAACCCGCAUGGACAUCUCAACAAAGGCUUCGAAAAACGGCGUAUCGGGAACCUCGCCGGAGUUUAUGAGCUUUCUCUGGUUUAAGUUCCCGAAGAGGGAGCACUCCAUUUUGGCGUGGACUAGUUGGAGGUACUUGGCUCUUGUGAACUUAGAGAACAAAGCUGUUUGGUUCUGGGAGAUGAAGGACUUUGGGUUUGCUUGUUUGAGGUUGUUGAACUGGUCGAAGUAGUGUUGUGUUUUGUGAGUACUAGGGAGUCCGAAGUUUGGGUUAGUGAAGCCUUCGAGCAUGGUUUUGCUAAAGAAAGACUCGAACGCGAAGCAGCGAUGGCUUUGCUUAGUGAACUCUGCUUCUGGCUCGAUGAACUUGAUGGCUGUGUCGAGGUCCCAGCUUGCAGACUCCAUUUCCUUGAUCAUUAGUUUCACAAAGCUUCGUAUGGAUCUUACGGUCUGCUGAUGAAACUGCGCGAAAUGCGUUGGUGUUAGUUUUGAGAGGCGGAGGUUGUCGAAGAUCGAGAGCGGGCCGCUGGAUUUGAGCUUGUAUUCGAUGCCUCUGUUGGUUGCGAGUAGUUCUUCGAGUUCGGAUUGGAGUUCGGAAAGACUGAAGGCUUUGCGCUGAGCUUCUAGCUCGAGUUUCUUGAUGGUGAUCUCGUACGUCUUCAUUAGUCCCUGUUGCUCUUGAAUCUCGGCGAGCAUUAGAGUCACCUGAGGAGAGAGAUCGAGCUCUUUCUUAAGGAAGCUGCGCUUCAUUUCCGAAAUGGCUUUGAGCUCGUCCACUACGGCCUGGUCAGCCACCUGAAUGGCUUCGUUGUUGUAAGGGUUCUGCGCCAUUUGGAGCUCGGCAUAAGCUGCUUUAAUGGAAGUGAUUCCGGCAAAGAGCUUGGCAAGUAAAGCCUCCAUGACUGCCCUGUUCUUGGCUUUAAGAUCCUCCAUUUUUUCGAUAUCGUGUUCCUCUUUGGUGGCCUUGGUGUUGGGUUUGAGCUUGCAAAUGCCAUUGUUGGAAGCGAUUUUGGUCGCGGCUCGGAGGCUGAUGACCUUGUGGAACGUCCUGGAAAGCUUGCUCUUCUUGAUCGGAGCCGAUUUGGGUCUGACUGUAUUCAUCUGAAACAGUGAAAAAACAAAUUCAGAAGCUCAAAAGAGAGAGACUAUAAACUUGUUGGGUGGGUGGGAGGGAAUAAAUGUGUUUGAAAGGGAUUGCAGUUAAUAUGAAAGCAGAGGCGCAAAGUUUGACUAUAAUGAGGUUGAAGAGAUCGAGCCGGAGAUGGAGGCAAGUAGUUUUAAAGCGCGGGAAAAAGGAAAAGGAGGAGGAGGAGAUAGAUAGAGAGGAGGAACUUGGGGGGAUCAGAAGGGGUGGAAAAGUCGGGUGUGUAUGUGUUAUUUUAGUGUUUCUUGGGGUGGUGAGGUUAUAAAUGGUGGUGUACAGAGAGGGAUUGAUUGCUACCAUCUAAUAAUGGACCCUACUGGAGUUAGGACUGUAUCAUCAUCCAUCAUCCAUGGGAGGAGAGCCAGGAAGAAGAAGACGCAGAGAGGUCAGUACUGUGAAGAAUCGUCACCAUUAUAAUUCACAACCUCGCAGUAAUCUUUCUCUCAUUAUUGACAUAAAUUCUACCAUAUUUCGGAAUAUGCAUGUAACGGUCGGUUUUUGAAACUUGAAUGUUCAUUCUUGUAAAUGAACUUAAAAUAAUAUUGAUUUUGACUAUCAUACUGUCAACCUGUAAAUAAUCGAGUAACUUAUAUACAAUAUUUUGAUCCGUUCAUCUUUAUCGCAUUAUCAUGCAUAUAUACUAAUACCGUUAACAAAAUUAAAAUCUAAAAAAAUAGUCCUAAGUGUUUUCAUCACAUGAGAUGAGAACCCGAUGUCGAAAAAGACGUAUUUUUAUUAUGGGCGCUUAAUUUCAUUGGAUCAAAAAUAAAAAUAAAACGAAAAAUUUAGGAUCUCUAGUCUUCAUUCGAUCUUCGGAUAUAGUGAUCUAAGAAUUUAUGCAUUAAUGAUGCAAGUGCAUCUUGGUGUGUAGAAUCCGCUCCGCCAUAUUGUAAAGUGAAAAUAUAAAUAGGGCAUCUGAUUAUCAUAAACAUAAGUUUGGGAUUACUAAAAUUUAGAGGGACUGACAUUGAGCGAACUGCUUGAUUAAUUGUAAUUACUCUCAAUAAUGUUAUCUCUAACAAAGCACGAGCAUUCCUUUCGUGCAAAUAUAAUUAAGGUGGGAGGGGGAAUCUUAAGCAAAUGCAUGUUGUAAUCCUCUAUAACACAGUUGUACGUUAAAGAAUGCGAAUAGGAAGUUAUGUAGUUUCCAUGUAGUUUUCUUAUUGUUUUCUUGAGAUUCAAGAAUAAUGACUACUGUAAAAGUUAAUGAAAUUGAUAGUAACAGACUAACAGUUAACCUAUCUAGUUGACAACGUAGAACUGACUAUUGUUUAGUUCAUUUCAUUUUCUUCUCUUAAAUUUGACAGGAUAGUAUAUCAUUUAAUUUGACAAGUAUAUGUAACAAACUUUUGUUAGCAAGUAACUAUGUGGAUCUGAAAAGUUUAGCUAGAAUAUGCAAUUUGCAUAACAUUGAUCAUCUCUAUUGAGUUUACCAGUUAAAUUGAUAUGAAGAUGUUGGUUCUUGCAAUUUUUUUUUUUCUUAGAACAGAGCUAACAGUUGUAGGUUGUCCUGGUUUUGGGCAGGCACAGAUAUGGUUCGGAAUUUAUUGAAUAUCUGCAAUGCAGUAUGGGACCUGAUGAUGGAUGAGAGCUAGGAGAGUUGCAUUUCAAAAGAGACAGAGAGCCGAAAGAAGAUUGUGACGAUAUCAACAGUAAUCUGAUUGAUGUGACCACCCUACUACUUAUUAUGUAUCUUCAUUCUUCAAGCAAGAAAUAUCCAGGAGCGCGUUCAUAGUUCUAAUCGGGUUAUAACUCACUUGUAAUCGAAUUUUGUUCUAAAUUACUUGACUCUAAUGAAAUUUACCAUCGUGUUUUAGUCGAACUCAUUUAGUCGCUAAAAUUCGUGAGAAGCUAAACAUUCCUACUCAUCAUGCAUGGUUACUUAACAUUUCUCAAUAGAAACUUACAUUUGCAAUUCAUAUGUUUUUUUGGACAGUAAGACUAUUAUCCAUAAGAUGAGAUUAAGAGUCUAAAGUGUGACAAACUAAUGUGAUUAUUCUUAAUGAUGGAUCAAUCUAGCUUCAACCUUUGAACCAAAUAGUCCCCAUUCAAUUGUGUCUCAUUCUUUGCUCUAAUGCCUUGAACAUGCAUUGUCCCUGUCCCAGUCCCACAAGGAUAAUUAACACUUUCAGCCAUGAGUAGUAUAGUGUUCAUUGUUCAAGAAAUUGAGCUAGCUAGUCAUUAUAAAAGAGUGUAGUUGAUAACUUUGAUAUAUGUUUCAAAUUCAAAUUAGUGCGCGUUGGGCAUUAUUACAGACAAUAAGAGUGUAGGGUAAUGAAAUAAAAAGAUUAAUAUACUGAAGGCACUCCCAUCCCUACCCAAUAAGAAACUAAGAAAGUAUAUAUAGCUUGGACUGCUCUCGGUGCCUUUGUCAUAGAAAACUUUAGGAUAUAGAAGUGUGGGAUUUGUCUUCGUUUAUAUAUGAUAGAAAAAACAGAGAAGAUAAUCGGGUUAAUUUGCUAUCAUUUUAUAUUGACACUCAUUACAUGUUUGUUAAGAACUUAAGAUGAACUUGCAGGCUUUGAAAAAGAAGUGAUGAAUGAGAUUGUGCAUGUCCAUAACUAGCCUUCAUUAAGGAUAUAGUUUGUAUAGACCAUGUACUUUUGUUUAACACUUGCUUCUAAUUUUUGUUAGGGUCAAUCAUGGGACCAGAAACAUACUCCAAGUCUCUUAACACAUGCAAUUAGUCCCAUCAUUAUCAUUCUUCAUUUAAGUUUGAUUUGUAUUUCAUGUUCAUUGAAAAAUGAAAAUACAACGACAUACAUUUUGAUUAUGCUGAGUAUAUAAAAGUACCAUACUAGAAUGACCAUCGAUACAAAUGCAAAUUCUUGUUACGUAACACUUGGAAUGAAUAAUGAUUGAAACCAAAACAGAAGAGGAGACGAAUUAUUUGAAAAAAUGAUUCACAACAAUUCUUUGAGACAAAGGUACAAAUGGAUCGAGACUUUGGGUAUACAAAACUCCUUUUCGAAUAUCCAUUCUAUAUCGGACAUACAUCACACAUGUAUAGUUGUAUACUGUAUGAAAUUAUACAACACAACCUUUUUCUUUCUUGGCAUGCAAUUUUGCUUUAGGUUAUAUCAUUACGUAGACUAGGAUAUAUAUAUAUAUAUAUAUAUAUAUAUAUUACACCUAAUUUUUUAAUUGAAAGUUUCAUGAUCUAAAAGCCUAAAAGCUUUCGUGGUCUUCACUAUCUGUGUAAUAGCCAUAUUCAUGCUGAAUUAUUUCAUCCAAUGAGCUUCUUGGGGAAGAAACAGAAGACAAUUCGAUUAUUAGUAGUAGUGUAAUCUACGAUAACAAGAGAACUAUGAUUUUUUUAUUUCUGCUUUAAGGUUGUAAGCCAUAAUUCCUAUAGAAUUACAUAUAAUUAAUUAGGAAUAGAUUCAAUUAAUUAUGUAGUUUGGUGAGCAAGAUAUAUAUAUGUUGCUACUUGCUAAUGGCAAACAAACUUGAGAGUAUGUAGCAUGAUUUUGUUUGCAUUAUAAUUAUGUUCUUCCAAAUAAUACUCUUUGUCCUAAUAAUACAACUUCAUGAUUUCUCCACAUCACUCUUUCUCAACACGACAUAUAUAAUUUUCCUAAGCUCCUCCCCAUGAUUCAUAUUAGUCCAGCUUUGUUGUUUUGGUCGAAUUAUUAGUGAAACAGUUGAAACUUGAAACUUGGGGAUGCAUUUACUAUCGCUGGAAAAAUUAUCAAGUUUGAGAGUAAGUUAUUUUGUUUUACAAAUAACAGAUCGAUAGUAUAUAAUGAACAAGGCUACAAAGAAAGGGAGAAGAUAUCUUAUUUACUUGAAGUAGUGACAUACACAUUCAAAAUUUCAAAUGUAUAGAAAUUGCACAAUCUUUAUGUUCAAGUGGGAAUUACUGUAGGGCAUUCCACAUUGACAUUGCCUUCCAGUUGCUGUGAAUUUCAAACAACCCUUGAGAAAGGGGUUGAGAAUAACUUCAUAGUUCCAAUUGAAAUUUGAGGGGACGACUCAGUAGCUAGUUCAUUUUCAACAAUGUAGUUUCAGUGAUUAUCGCUGCAGAAUCAGCUUUCCAGGCCAGACUAGGUAAUAAAGCAGAAAUGUCUUGUCAUCCCAGAACGAAUCAAACCAGCUCCAUCUGCUCUAGGAUACAGCUUUCCAGUGGAGAAAGUCUUGGGUGAACUCAAAGUCGUGGGAGAAAACUUUGGUGAACCUCUGAAAAUUUGGCUACUUGCUACCACUGUUUAUGGUACAACAAGUUGAUAAUUAAACAACCUAAAAUGACAAGGGAGCCAUAUAUCCAUUUGAUUCAAAAUCUUUGUUGUUGUAUACCUAGUUAGUGUUUGAGAAACUUAUGUUCGACCUCAAAAAUUGUAUGAAAACGUGUAUUGUAGCCCUAUUCUUUUUUUGGGGAUGUAAGCCUGAAAGUUCUUCUAUUCUUUUACCUGAACUUUCCGGUAAUUUAACUCCUUCGAGCAACGCAAGUGAGUAAUGCGGUACUCGACAUUUCGAACUCGGAGCUCAUCCAUAUGCUAAAGAAACAAGCUUGAAUGAGAAACUGGGAAUGGUCCUCACAUUACUUUAGUUGUUAGGGACACGAGUGAUUAACAAGCAUCUUCAUCAGGAAAAAAAAAAAAAAAA